This 70105-nucleotide long non-coding RNA is filed under the name Triticum aestivum (bread wheat). RNAcentral describes it as "long non-coding RNA (TAES_LNC001261)". Lineage: Eukaryota; Viridiplantae; Streptophyta; Magnoliopsida; Poales; Poaceae. The record is from RNAcentral.
GCCCAGUUGAUGCGAGUGAGAGGCGGAGCCCGAUACACGAUCCACUUGGCCGAUCACACACGCAGACACGCAUUGUACUGCUACGAGAGAGCUCCCAUGUUAAGCUAAAGUUACUAAGCUACUUUCCCAGUAAACCCCCUGCAUUGUAUAAGAAUCAGACUAAACCACUCCCUCCCAAGGCGGGAAGUGCUAGCCCUCUCCCUCUGGUAUGGUCACCUGCCGCAGAACCCCUCGUCGAUUAGUCGCGGGCUUACUUGCAAGAAUACCUCAUGCCGUGAGAUCCAAACGAAAAAAAUGCCCUAACACUGUACUCCCAGUAGCCGCAGCAAAUGCCAUUCACCGCUACAAAGCCACCUCCCAGUAGCCGCAGCCUCCCACUCUACUUCGCACGCACGCACGCACCCACCACACUCGUCCACUCGCCUACGCUUCUCUGGGCCGGCCGGCCGGGGCUUGCUUGCACGCGCGCGACGCCAUGGACGGGCAGGACGGCGGCCAGGGCCGGAGGAGGAAGCCCGACGGGAACCGGAACCCCAAGCGAGGCAACAUCAUCAAGACGAUCAUCAACGACUUGACCGGCGGCGGCGGCGGCGCCCCCGCGACCUCCGGCGGUGGUGGCGGCGGCGGCGGCGGGGGUGGGAACGGCGACACCGGCAACGGCGGCGGCUCCUAGCGAUCGAGCAUGGCUGCGCGCGCGCGCGCGUGCGACGAGAUGGUUAGUUUGAGCCUACUGGACUGUUGAAUAAUGCGUCUCGUUGUGCGUGUGGCGGUUGUAGAAAGAGCGGGCCUGUGUUCGUGCCUGGUUGUGUGUGUGCGUAGCUUAAUCGUGUUCUGUAGAUCUUGAUUAAGCACUCAUGGGUGUCGCCCGCGCUGGCCAUCUAAGAAAUGCUUGUACUUGGAUCUGAUCUGAUCUAUGGCUUAUUUUAUGUAUGCUCUUCUUGCUUGCUGCUGCUUGUGCUGCUGAUCUGCUCUUGCUGUUCUUUUGUGGAUGCACCUAUGGAUCGACCGCCCGCGUCGAUGGAUUCGGUGUUCAAAUUCUAAGACAUUAGGGUUUAGGCAUCGGCAAUUUCAUGGCGCUCCUUUUUGUUGCCAUGUUUGUCUAGUGUAAGUAAAAAUACACCUAAAUCUUUUUUUAGGAAAAAAAAUACACCUAAAUCAAUUGUUCAUCCAGCCCUGUGGGCAUGUGAUAAUUGAGGCUAUGCAUUCAUUAAUUUUCUCGACAAACAAAUGAUCAAGCGACCUUAUCUAGAAUCUUCAGUUUCGCUUUGUCUGCAUACAUUAUCCUGACUCCCCACUCCACAUCUCGUACAUCUCAAAAUGGGCGUGCCGUCCCACACGUGCUCCACAUGAGCUUCGUACGAAGCUCCGAUGAACAUUACAAUAACCUCACCUCACAUGCAUCUAUCAUACCAUACGAGCUUGAUCAGUUCAGGGUUAUAACUUAUAGAAAACUGAUUAGGUGCCCAAAAUGCAUGAGUGGACAUGGUAUCACGUGAGGAUGGUACCCACCCCACUCAUCUAUACGUGCUUCGUUUUGUAUUCACACCGCCGAGCAUAUAUAAUUAUCCUAGCAGCCAAGGAAUCUUGUAUAUGUUAAACAUCCUAAUUGUGUACGUGACAGGGGCGACCAGAGCAUCUUCAACCUUGAGCAAUCUUCACAUGAUAAUCAGAUUCUCCCUCUUCCGUCAUAUCUAGCCUUCACCACACCAUCCCUAUUACCAAGCUCGCACCAUGUCCUCCUUCUCCGGCUCCCCUCUGUCCGGCCUGUCCAGCGGCAGUUGGCCUCGCCCUGCGUGCUGCAUGCUUGGUCAGCAUGUGCCCAGUACGUGAUGAAAAAUAUAAGUUUAGAAACUACAUCCAUAACUAGUUAAAUUCUUAACCUAGAACAACAUGCAUGUCCUGUAAACCGAGACGGAGGAAGUAGUUGUUUGCCAAGAAGUUUGUGCUGUUGACGGGAAUAUACGUGAAAUUAAAUUUCAAGUGCAUAAUUAUGUGUUUAAAAUCCAAAGACUAUAAGCAUCGAGUGGAAGGGGCGAUUGUGAGCUAGAUACACCAUUAAUAAAGGUGGUGAACUUGAAUUCAAGAGGCAGAUACACAAAUAGUGGGAGGAGGAUGAAGAACAAUAAGAAAAAGAAUAUAGCGGUAAACAAAUAAUGCCAAUCUGAUGCGCAUGAGAAUUCAUGUCCGACACUGUUAGUGUUAAACCACCAGAAUAUAUAUGUUCCUGUAGCAACGCACGGGCAAUUAUCUAGUAUGGAAAAAGACGACAUCUCCGUGUCAUGUCAUCACAUUUAUUAGAGACCGAUGAUAAUACUGAGGUGGCUCUAAUUUGCAUGUGGAAAAUAAUAAACAAUUUGGAUUAUAUUUUUUUGCAGGGAAGAAACAAUUUGGAUUUAGUAGGAUUUGAAUCCAGAGGAAUUUUUUGAGAGUAUGCGGCCAUACUUUUAUAAAAGGCAGAAUUUCAAAUACAAGAGGGCUACAACUUGUUGCGAACAACGAGCCUAGUGUGAGCGCACUUGGUUGAUCCACAAAAGCCACCGUCUUGGACUCACCGGCGAUGACAUACAUUGUGCCACUAAAGAUCACCUUGAAAAAUGGCGAGCACCGGAAGUAGCGCAACAUGGAACCUCAAGACCAUGUCUUCAAGCGCGGUGCUCCCAACAGAGUGGCGACACCAAAGACGCCGCCAUCGCGUUGAUUCAACUCCGAACCUAAGCUUUCGCUAGAAGACAACUACCAAUCCCGAGGGCGAGCGAUGGAGAUGCUGACUCACCUUGGUGGCGCCUCCAAGGAGGGGAACGACACCCAUCGGUGUCGUCGCCGCCAGCACCGACCGAGUGCGUGCAUGAAUUUCUUCCGAAUCGUUGCACACCUCAUCCCUUCCCACCGGGUUGGGGCACACCAUCCAAGUUGACAACUUCGUUGUCGCCGCAUCACUUCACCAGCAUAGUUGAGAUGUCAAGGCCACCCAAGACCCACACAAACAGGAGCACACAGCCCAAACACUAGCAUCCCCACGAUUGAGAACUCCACUGAGCUGCCUCCAGGCCCGAUUAAGGUUCAUCGGAAUUGCAUACCACAACCAUCUGGCCAACUCCUGGUAGACGCCCAUGCCGCGGCCCUAUGUCCUAGAUCUGGCCCAUCCAGCCCGCGCCGCCUCCAACACCUCCGACCACGAAUCGUGGAGGAGGCACCAGGAGGCGCCAUGAACCAUCGUGCUCAGCGCUGCAAGCGCAACAACUCCUGGCCGAGCACCACCAUGCCGCCAUGGCCGAGCUACGCCGACGUCUCCUCCAGGAAGAGCCACCUUCCGGACCCUACUCCUCUCACGAGCCCCAAUCGCGCACCUCCACUCUGUUGUGAACUCCGCCAUGCACCGUCUCACCAGCACCAAAGCCCGCGACGAGCAGCACUACGACCCCAUAUUGCUGGCCCGCCGAACACCAGAUCCCUCCGCCACCAGCCGUCAACGGAUGUACGUGGACGGCAGCGAGGGAGGGGGCAGGGAGAGGAGGCGGCGACAGUGGUUGUUAGGGUUUUCGCCCGAGCCGCCCCUAGGAGGGGAUGGGGGAGGGAGGAAUCAGAGGAAUUCAUUUGAUCAUUUUGAUGUAGGUGCGUGCAGACAGUAGUGUCAUGUAUCUAGGGUUGGUUUGGUUUGCACCGUGAGAUCCAUGCUGAAAAAAAAUUGAUGCCUGGCAUGGGCGUGCAAAGUUGAAGUUUUCUGCCUGCCCAGCUAGCCAUGCAAGAUGCAGUGGUGUGUUUGGUUUCUACCCUGACCUGCUGCUUUGUCCUUUUGUGAUUAGAAAACCUUUUUCAGACAGUAGACUAUACCUCGUGUGUCCUUAAUUAGGACCAGGCGAGGCUGCAGCCCGUCCAGGUGAAGGAAACCGGACGACUGGACCAGGCUAAUCACUCUGCCUAGGUGUUUUCUUUUCUUUUUUGUACCAGACUAAUCACACAACCAGGCGAGGCAGGUUUUUCUAUUCCCUUCGUAAAGAAAUAUAAGAGUGUUUAGAUCAUUCUUUAGAAACCAAACAACUACAAGGCCGACUCCAAGCACUAUCCAGGCCAGGCAUAUAUGGGUGUGGAUGCAAACCAAAUUGACCACUUAGAGCAUAUGCACCUCUGUUUGUACCAUGUACGUGUGGCUGUGUGGCAUCACAUGUUAAUUCAUAUCUUUACGGCCAACGAAUGCCACGACCAAAUAUCCAGGUUCGUGUUGCUCUUCUUUUUCUUUUGAGUCGAGUGUCAUGUGCCUCACUCGUCGUUUUCAUCGCUAGCUCAGUCGUUCGUUUCAAAGAUUCGCGUGCGACUGACGGACCGAGACGAAUUCAAGACAAAGAAACGAAGACCUCCAUUUCCGGGUCGGAUACACCGGACUCGACCGGAGUGAUCUACCAUGGAUCUUGUUUGAUUGCCUUGUAGUACCAUCAUGGUCCCUCAACGAGCCGCUUCACAUCGUUGCCACUGUUUUGUAGGCCCAACAUCCAACCCUUUUGAUUUCUUUUUUGGAAGUUGGUAGCUCGACGCCUUCGGAGCCAAGAAAAACCGCGUGACGUGAAUCUAUUGUCACCGUCCACGUCGAUGCACCCGACACGGCCAGUUUAUUUAUUUGCUUGGCCGACACGUGGUGCCAGUGUGCGAUCCUCGUGGCGUCCUCACGGACCUUUGCCCUUAAUCUAUCCUCUCCAGCUUGCUUAUGGUUCUCGUCACUCUCGCUGGGCUUAUUUUAUCUCUUCAUUCACUAGGUACAACCUGACCGAUCGAACGCCUUGCGUCCCGGUUCAAUGCACAUUCUUCACUUCGCCAUCCGAUCGAACGCCUUGCGGCACGUCCUUAUCCAAUCCGUCAACUCGCACAUGUCUAUUGAACGAGCCUGAUUUUUUUAUGCUAGACUUUUUGCUGCACAAAAAGCAAGGGUGGCGGUCCCUUUGCGGGGAAUGAUCAAUCCGGCACAAUGUCCGCCCGGUCCAGAUCGAAUCCACUAGAGCCGGCGCCCGUGACAAGAAAGUCGUUCAUGGCCGCGUGCGGAUGUCCAACCGUCGAGGCCAACGCAGCACGUCAGUCGACAGUGACAAGAAAGGAGUGCCGAUUAAGAAACAAUCCAGAUAAGAAUUUUGGUAGCUAAGCCACCAGAUUAGGAUCAUUCGAACUGCUGUAUCGAUCGAAAGGAUGAGAUAGGGUGACCAUGGGCGAGCCGAUCACGUCACGUCACACGCUAAUUGCAGGGUUGAUGCACAAACAAUCACGUCACAAACUCACACCACAAUCCAUAUAUGUAUGACUCUGCCUCUACGUACUCUUUUCGUUUUCUCAACUCCUGCAUACUCUCUUUCUGAAACAUAUACUGCUCUCUUUCUCGAACAUAUACAGUACUAUACUCUUUACUUCGGAGGCACAAAUUUUAUGCAUCCUGUAUGUACCCGAGAAAUCGUAUCGACGGCAUAAUAUAGUGUAUGGCGGUGACGUGAGCGGCACCACGUCACGGUGAUGACGCACAUGGCCUACUACGCGAAUUGCCGACAAGGAGAACGAGGGAGUGCCGUGCUUCAGUUUUCCUUUCCGUGAUUUUUUUAGAGAACCCCUUUUUUCGCUUACCAUAAAAUACCGAAAACACUAAUGCCCACACGUUGGGCAACAUUACAACUCACCCAUACGUCUGGAUUAUCGUCCAGUUAAAUUUACAUGAAUCAUGACACACGGAGAGAGUUUUCGCGUGCCACGUAGGACAAGCCCGGUGUGUGGGCGUUGAAGAGGUCACCCACACGCCCCACAACACGCGGUUACCAAAUGCGCUGUGUGGGCGAACUAAUUUCUGCCCACACAACCAUCACCUAGUCCACUCGCGUGUGGGCGAACUGCUUUUCGCUCACACGACAGUCGUAUGUUGUUGGAUGACAACUGCAGUUGCGCGUACAUGGCAACUAGGCAAACACACAUGACAACUAUGAUUCAUUUGCUAGACGGUAACUGCAAUUGUGUAUACGUGGCAAUCAGAUAAACAUACAUUGCAACUGCGAUUAACCACACGUGGCAACUAGAUAAACACACAUGACAACUAUUGUUUGAUCAUAUGUGGCAAGUAGUUAAUCACACACAACAACUAUGGUUUGAUUACGUGCGGCAAUUAUCAUAAAUUAGACAUGGCAACUAUAGUUAACCAAAACCGAGAGAGUUGUCAUGUUUUUACAACCAUAUUUGCCAUCCCAGAUAGCUACGUCUGCCAUCCCGGAUGGCAAUAAAUCGUCAUCCCGUGGGUUUCUAAUGUAGCUGCGCCAAAACGUGUAGGCAUAUUUGCUUCGUGCUACACGCGUGGGGUGAAGAUGAAUAGUAUUUGUUGGGCAUGUGACAUGAAAUAGAUGCGCCCACACGUGUGGGCAAUUCUAUUAUUCGCCCAUACACAGCCCGUGUGGACUACCUCCUCCUCAUGCCACAUACGAUGUGCGGGCGAAUAUCUAUUAUGCCACACGUGUGGUGGAUAUCGGCGUCUAAAUACUCCCGAGCAAGACGGGCAGCCCGACACAUGAUCCACUUGUCUCUAUUUAUCCAAAAUCACUCACGCGCGCCCAAGCUAAUUAAGCUACUAGUACACCACCUCCCGAUAAACCACGCAUUGUAAAUUUGUAACCAUCCCCGUGAAAAAGAGUAAGUUUGUAACCAAGAAUCUGUUGACGAAUGCGGUAAUUUCAAAAUUUUCCUAUGCACACGCAAGAUUAUGAUGAUGCACAACAACAAGAGGGGAGAAUAUCGUCUACAUACUCUCGUAGACCGUAAGCGGAAGCGUUAUGACAACGCGGUUGAUAUAGUCGUACGUCUUCAUGAUCGACCGAUCUAGUACCGAAGAUACGACACCUCCGCGAUCUGCACACAUUCGGCUCGGUGACGUCCCGCGAACUCACAAUCUAGUAGAGCUUCGAGGGAGAGCUUCGUCAGCACGAGGGCGUGAUGACGGCAAUGAUGUUGCUAUCAGAACAUGGCUUCACGUAAGCACCGCUACGAUAUUACCGUGGUGGAUUAUGAUGGAGGGAGGCACCGCACACGGCUAAAGAUCAAUGAUCAACUUGUGUGUCUAUGGGGUGCCGCCCUCCCCCGUGUAUAAAGGAGUGGAGGAGGGGGAGAGGCCGGCCUCUCUAGGCGCGCCCCAAGGAGUCCUACUCCCACUGGGAGUAGGAUUCUCCCCUUUCCUUUGUUGGUUCUAGGAGAGAAGGAGGAGAGGGAAGAAGGACGGAAAGGGGGGGGGAGCGCCCCCCCUCCCAAUUCAGAAUGGGCUUGGGGGGGGGGGCCCUCCUUUGCUUCUUUCCUCUCUCUUCCACUAAGGCCCAAUAAGGCCCAUAUACCUCCCGGGGUGUUUCGGUAACUCCCGCUACUCUGGUAUACUCCCGAUUUUACCCGGAACCAUUCCGAUGUCCAAACAUAGGCUUCCAAUAUAUCAAUAUUUAUGUCUCGACCAUUUCGAGACUCCUCGUCAUGUCCGUGAUCAAAUCCGGGACUCCGAACUACCUUCGGUACAUCAAAACACAUAAACUCGUAAUACCGAUCGUCACCGAACGUUAAGCGUGUGGACCCUACGGGUUCGAGAACUAUGUACACAUGAUCGAGACAUGUCUCUGGUCAAUAACCAAUAGCGGAACCUGGAUGCUCAUAUUGGUUCCUACAUAUUCCAUGAAGAUCUUUAUCAGUCAAACCGCAUAACGAUAUACGUUGUUCCCUUUGUCAUCGGUAUGUUACUUGCCCGAGAUUCGAUCAUCGGUAUCUCAAUACCUAGUUCAAUCUCGGUACUGGCAAGUCUCUUUACUCAUUUCGUAAUUCUACAUCCCGUAACUAACUCAUUAGCUACAUGGCUUGCAAGGCUUAUAGUGAUGUACAUUACCGAGAGGGCCGAGAGAUACCUCUCCAAUAAUCGGAGUGACAAAUCCUAGUCUUGAUCUAUGCCAACUCAACAACCACCAUUGGAGACACCUGUAGAGCACCUUUGUAAUCACCUAGUUACGUUGUGACGUUUUGUAGCAUACAAAGUGUUCCUCCGGUAUUCGGGAGUUGCAUGAUCUCAUAGUCAUAGGAACAUGUAUAGUUAUGGAGAAAGCAAUAGCAACAAACUAAACGAUCAUCGUGCUAAGCUAAUGGAUGGGUCAAGUCAAUCACAUCAUUCUCUAAUGAUGUGACCCCGUUAAUCAAAUGACAACUCAUGUCUAUGGUCAGGAAACACAACCAUCAUUGAUUCAACGUGCUAGUCAAGUAGAGGCAAACUAGCGACACUUUGUUUGUCUAUGUAUUAACACAUGUACUAAGUUUCCGGUUAAUACAAUUCUAGCAUGAAUAAUAAAAAUUUAUCAUGAUAUAAUGAAAUAUAAAUAACAACUUUAUUAUUGCCUCUAGGGCAUAUUUCCUUCAGUCUCCCACUUGCACUAGAGUCAAUAAUCUAGAUUACACUGUAAUGAUUCUAACACUCAUGGAGUCUUGGUGUUGAUCAUGUUUUGCUUGUGAGAGAGGCUUAGUCAACGGGUCUGCAACAUUCAGAUCCGUAUGUAUCUUGCAAAUCUCUAUGUCUCCCUCCUUGACUUGAUCGCAGAUGGAACUGAAGCAUGUCUUGAUGUGCUUAGUUCUCUUGUGAAAUCUGGAUUCCUUUGCCAAGGCAAUUGCACCAGUAUUGUCACAAAAUAUUUUCAUUGGACGCGAUGCACUAGGUAUGACACCUAGAUUGGAUAUGAACUCCUUCAUGCAGACUCCUUCAUUUGUUGCUUCUGAAGCAGCUAUGUAUUCCGCUUCACACGUAGAUCCCGCCACGACGUCUGCUUGGAACUGCACCAACUGACAUCUCCACCAUUUAAUAAAAACACGUAUCCGGUUUGUGAAUUAGAGUCAUCCGGAUCAGUGUCAAAGCUUGCAUCGACGUAACCGUUUACGACGAGCUCUUUGUCACCUCCAUAUACGAGAAACAUAUCCUUAGUCCUUCUCAGGUAUUUCAGGAUGUUCUUGACCGCUGUCCAGUGAUCCACUCCUGGAUUACUUUGGUACCUCCCUGCUAAACUUAUAGCAAGGCACACAUCAGGUCUAGUACACAACAUUGCAUACAUGAUAGAACCUAUGGCUGAAGCAUAGGGAACACCUUUCAUUUUCUCUCUAUCUUCUGCAGUGGCCGGGCAUUGAGUCCGACUCAACUUCACACCUUGUAAUACAGGCAAGAACCCUUUCUUUGCCUGAUCCAUUUUGAACUUCUUCAAAACUUUAUCAAGGUAUGUGCUUUGUGAAAGUCCAAUCAAGUGUCUUGAUCUAUCUCUAUAGAUCUUGAUGCCCAAUAUAUAAGCAGCUUUACCGAGGUCUUUCAUUGAAAAAUUCUUAUUCAAGUAUCCUUUUAUGCUAUUCAGAAAUUCAGUAUCAUUUCCGAUCAACAAUAUGUCAUCUACAUAUAAUAUCAGAAAUGCUACGGAGCUCCCACUCACUUUCUUAUAAAUACAGGCUUCUCCAAAACAAUGUAUAAUACCAUAUGCUUUGAUCACACUAUCAAAGCAUAUAUUCCAACUCCGAGAGGCUUGCACCAGUCCAUAAAUGGAUUGCUGGAGCUUGCACACUUUGUUAGCACCUUCUGGAUCGACAAAACCUUCUGGUUGCAUCAUAUACAACUCGUCUUUAAAUUAUACAUUAAGGAAUGCAGUUUUGACAUCCAUUUGCCAAAUUUCAUAAUCAUAAAAUCUAACACCCACAAUGCGGCUAUAUCUGCCACGUGUCGGGGCAUGACUUAGAGGCAUAGCCGCAUGGUAGGCAUGUCGCAAGAGGGGUAAUCUUUACACAUCCCAUGUACUGAAUAAGAAAGGGAUAAAGAGUCGGCUUACAAUCGCCACUUCACACAAUACAUAAAUAAUCCAUACAUCAUCCAAGGUACAAACAAAGGUCCGACUACGGAACCAAAAUAAAGAAAGACCACCCCAAAUGCUAGAUACCCGAUCGUUCCAACUGGGCUCCACUAUUGAUCAUCAGGAAAGGAAACAUAAUAGCGACCCAAAUCUUCAUCGAAUUCCCACUUGAGAUCGGUAGCAUCGCCUGCACUGGUAUCGUCGGCACCUCCAACUGUUUGGAAAUAUCCGUGAGUCACGAGGACUCAGCAAUCUCAUACCCGCGCGAUCAUGACUAUUUAAGCUUAUGGGUAGGAGAAGGUAGUGAGGUGGAGCUGCAGCAAGCACUAAGCAUAUAUGGUGGCUAACAUACGCAAAACAGAGGGAUGAGAGAAGCAAUGCACGGUCGAGAAGCUAUAAGUGAUCAAGAAGUGAUCCUGAAACUACUUACAUUCAAGCAUAACACAAGACCGUGUUCUCUUCCCGGACUCCGCCAAAAAGAGACCAUCACGGCUACACACGCGGUUGAUUCAUUUUAAUUAAGUUAAGGGUCAAGUUCUCUAUAACUGGAUAUUAACAAAUUCCCAUCUGCCACAUAACCGCGGGCACGGCUUUCGAAAGUUCAAAACCCUGCAGGGGUGUCCCAACUUAGCCCAUCACAAGCUCUCACGGUCAAUGAAGGAUAUUUCUUCUCCCAGGAAGACCCGAUCAGACUCGGAAUCCCGGUUACAAGACAUUUCGACAAUGGUAAAACAAGACCAGGAAAGCUACUGUAAUGUGCUGACAAAUCGCGAUAGGAGCUGCACAUAUCUCAUUCUCAGGGCACACCGGAUUGUCCAAACUUUCGGUAGGCCAGCCCAGAGUUGCCCCUGGUGGCCACCGGUGGCUGACAGGUUGGACCAACACUCAGAGGAGUAAUGGCCCGGGCGUUCAAAAUAAAGAUGACCCUUGAGUCCGCGGAACCCAAGGGAAAAAGGCUUAGGUAGGCAAAUGGUAAAACCAAGGUUGGGCCUUGCCAGAGGAGUUUUAUUCAAAACGAACUAUCAAGGGGUUCCCAUAAUACCCAACCGCGUAAGGAACGCAAAAUCAAGGAACAUAACACCGGUAUAACGGAAACUAGGGCGGCAAGAGUGGAACAAAACACCAGGCAUAAGGCCGAGCCUUCCACCCUUUACCAAGUAUAUAGAUGCAUUAAAGUAAAUAAGAUAUAAUAAUGAUAUCCCAACAAUAUCCAUGUUCCAACAUGGAACAAACUUCAUCUUCACCUGCAACUAGCAACGCUAUAAGAGGGGCUGAGCAAAGCGGUAACAAAGCCGAACAAGGAUUUGCUAGGAAAUGUGGGUUAGAGGUUUGACACGGAAAAAUGGGAGGCAUGAUAUAGCAAGUGGUAGGUAGCGCGGCAUAGCAAUAGAGCGAACAACUAGCAAGCAAAGAUAGAAGUGAUUUCGAGGGUAUGGUCAUCUUGCUUGCAAAGUUCUCAGAGUUGUCAAAAGCUUGAUCCUCAUAAGCAUACUCAACAGGUUCCUCGGUCACGUACUCGUCUGCCAUUCUACCCAAAGCAAGAACAUAAGCAAAGGACCAACAAUCAAUCACGGUGCAAUGCACAAGCAACAUGAUGCAAUAUAUGGCAUGAUAUGCGAGAUGUGAUAUGCAAUGCAUAUGCGUGCUCCGGAAGGAAAAUAAAGAUCAAGGCAUUAACUUGGAAAACCUAGUAUGCCGCUGGAAAGAUGAGAUGAUUUCGGUUGAAAUCGAUAUAAAGAUCACCGGAAAUGGAUGCACGGUUUGCAAAUGGCAAGCAAAACAAGGAUGGUGCAAAACUGUAAUUAACAACACGAUGCUACUUAGGAUGCAACAAGAAACUAAGAUACUGCACCCCAACAUAACCACAAAGUAUUAGGCAGUGAUGUACACAAGAUGCUUGACAAAACAUGAACACUGAGUUACGGCUAAAUCACACAAGAGCAGGUUCAAACAAGCAUGGCCAAAGUGCAAAAGAUAUCAGUUUCACAGACUUAGUGAAAAUACUAACAUGCUAGAAAUAACAUCAGGAAGCCAUGUUUAGAGCAAGCAAACAACAUGAUACAGGAACAUAUCAUAGCAAAACAAGGCAUGGCAUGAAUGUACUAAAUGCGUAGAUCAAAAGUUCCUUAAUGAUCAUGAUCCAAUAAGGUACAGAAGAUAUGAUGACACCCAUGUAACCAUAGCAAGUUUUAUUAACACUUUCAGACUUAGCGGAAAACAGAGCAUGGCAUAAACAGAAUUAUGAAGGCAACUUUGCGAGCUCAUGCUACUCACCACAAAGCAUUUCAUAAAAAAACAAUCAUACCAACAGCAAGAUGACAUGUUCAUUAAGUAACCAUGGCAAGAGCAAGUACAUAGCAUGCAUGGAUCACUAACAACAACCAUGGCAAAAUUGAUUAACAUGUUAACAUUCUGCCAGGAACAUUUUAUAGCAAAAGUAGAGCAAGAACAAGACAUGCUAGGCAACUCCAUAAUUGCAAACAGGGGCAUGGAUGGAUAGAGCAUAACCAUAUGUUCAAAAUAUCCUUACUGAAGUAUCUCAAAACAAGCAUGGAUAUCACUAGAGCAUCAAGUUUACAUGGCAUCAAAAUAACAGCAGGACAAGGACUUAGCAAAAUCCCAAGUCUCUGAAAACAGCAACAUUGUGGAGCCUAGUUUGUAUGCUUGUGCUAGUCACCAGAUAGAUCACAAAAAUACAAGACAAGCACCCCUGUAAAGAUGGCAUGACAUAGUUCAAAACACAUGUAGAGCUCAUGCCCAUUUGAUGCACACAUCAAAUGCAACAAAAAUGACAAAACCUCAUGAUCUGAUAAGUAGCAGCACGUAACAUUUUAUAGCACUCUUGCAUCAAUGAAAAAGGCAUCAUAAUUGACAUGAACAUGCAUGGAAAUGCCAUUGGAAUAAAGAGCUCGACGAGAAGAACAAUUUGAUAUAUCAUAUGCAUGAAACGAAGCUACAGUCAUGGAGAUACGAUGCUAUGAACAGGGCAUGAAAUUAACACAAAAAAGGACAGACGAAAUCGAGGGGGGGGGUCGACCUCCAGAUCUAGGGCACGGGACCCGAGGUUCGACGGAGCUCGAACUCGUCGGAGAUGGAGCGGGAAGGCGGCCGGAGGUGAGGAGGUGGCCGGAGCGGCGCUUGGGCGCGGGCGGCGAUCGGCGCCGACCCGCGGUGGCUGCAGGGUGGCGAAGCUGGCGGAGGAGUGGCGUGGCCUGCCGGCGUGGAGGAGCGGCCCGGCNNNNNNNNNNNNNNNNNNNNNNNNNNNNNNNNNNNNNNNNNNNNNNNNNNNNNNNNNNNNNNNNNNNNNNNNNNNNNNNNNNNNNNNNNNNNNNNNNNNNNNNNNNNNNNNNNNNNNNNNNNNNNNNNNNNNNNNNNNNNNNNNNNNNNNNNNNNNNNNNNNNNNNNNNNNNNNNNNNNNNNNNNNNNNNNNNNNNNNNNNNNNNNNNNNNNNNNNNNNNNNNNNNNNNNNNNNNNNNNNNNNNNNNNNNNNNNNNNNNNNNNNNNNNNNNNNNNNNNNNNNNNNNNNNNNNNNNNNNNNNNNNNNNNNNNNNNNNNNNNNNNNNNNNNNNNNNNNNNNNNNNNNNNNNNNNNNNNNNNNNNNNNNNNNNNNNNNNNNNNNNNNNNNNNNNNNNNNNNNNNNNNNNNNNNNNNNNNNNNNNNNNNNNNNNNNNNNNNNNNNNNNNNNNNNNNNNNNNNNNNNNNNNNNNNNNNNNNNNNNNNNNNNNNNNNNNNNNNNNNNNNNNNNNNNNNNNNNNNNNNNNNNNNNNNNNNNNNNNNNNNNNNNNNNNNNNNNNNNNNNNNNNNNNNGGCGCUGACGAGGGUCGUCGAGGAAGGCGGCGGCCGGCGCGGGAUCCGAUGCGGUGGUGGGGCGACGGGAUCGGGCGGCGCGGAGCGGCUUCGGUCGAUGGCGCGGUUGGGCUCGCCGGGGCCCCGCGCGCGCCGGUGGAGCUGCCCACAUGGCGGUCUCUGGUUGGACGCGGUGCGGCGGUGAUUUUGUCCUGCUCGGGCCGGACGUGUCCGGUGGUGGAGGAGGGUGGAGCUAGGGUUUCGUUUGCGCGAAAUUUCGAGGAGGGACACCUAUUUAUAGGUAGGAGGAGGUAGGAGUGUCCAAAUGAGGUGCGGUUUUCGCGUACACGAUCGUGAUUCGACGAUGAAGGACAUGGAAGUGGUUUAGAUGGGUUAUUGGGCCAUUUUGGAGGGGUGGCUGCAACACACAAGAGGCUUUCACGGUAACCCGGUUAACCGUUGGAGCAUCAAACAGACUCCAAAUGGGACGAAAUUUGACAGGCGGUCUACCGGUGGUGUACCAAGACCACUUGGAAAAUCUCAGUCCAUUCCGAGAACGUUUAACACCCUCUCACGAAAAGAGACAAGAGGGGGGCGCCGGUGCAUGUGGGAAUGUCAGAUUGCAAAACGGACAACGGAAAAAAUGCUCGGAUGCAUGAGAUGAACACGUAUGCAAAUGCGAUGCACAUGAUGACAUGAUAUGAAAUGCAUGACAUGAACAAAAUGCAAAACGAAGACAAAAACCCAACCACGAAGGGAUUCUCAUAACUUAAAGCCGAAAAUGGCAAGAGUUGGAGUUACAAAUAUGGCAAGUUACAUCCGGGGUGUUACAACACUCCACCACUAUGAGAGGAUCUCGUCCCGAGAUCUAGGACUGAAAGAACUCCGGAUAUUCAGAACGGAGGUGGUCCUCGCAUUCCCAGGUGGCUUCUCGGUCGGAAUGGUGUGACCACUUCACUUUCAGGAAUUUGAUAGACUUGUUGCGAGUCUUGCGCUCAGUUACUUCAAGAAUAGCAAUGGGAUGCUCAUGAUAAGACAAAUCUUCUUGGAGAUAAAUCUCUUUGAAGUUGAUGGUGCACUCAGGAGUCUUGAAGCACUUGCGGAGCUGUGACAUGUGAAACACAUCGUGCACAUUUGCAAAGUUGGACAGAAGCUCAAGUUGAUAGGCGAGAUCGCCUCUUUUGCCAAUGAUCUUGAAAGGAUCCACGUAUCUAGGGGCAAACUUCCCUUAUAAACCAAAGCGACGAGUGCCUUUCAUUGGAGAGACGCGGAGGUAGACAGGGUCUCCGAUCUCGAAAGCCAAGUCACGGUGCUUGCUAUCAUAGUAACUCUUCCGGCGCAAUUGCGUGGCUUUGAGAUUUUCCCGGAUGACUUUGCACAUUUCUUCAGCCUCUGUGAUCAAGUCAUUGCCAAGAAGUUGGCGUUCACCAGUCUCUGACCAAUUGAGAGGAGUACGACACUUUCUGCCAUAGAGAAUUUGGAAUGGGGCCUUGCCCAACCUCGCUUGGAAGAUGUUGUUGUAGGAGAACUCGGCAUAUGGAAGACAAUCUUCCCACUUCAUACCGAAGGAAAUGACACAAACCCUAAGCAUAUCUUCAAGGAUUUGAUUGACUCGCUCGACUUGGCUACUAGUUUGAGGAUGGAAAGCUGUGUUGAAGCGAAUGUUGGUGCCCAUGGCCUUCUAGAAGGAGUCCCAGAACUUAGAAGUGAAGAUGCUCCCACGAUCUGAAGAUAUCAAUUGUGGAAUGCCGUGCAAGGAGACAAUCCUGGAGGUGUAUAGCUCUGCCAGCUGAGCUGCUGUGAUAGAUUCUUUGAUUGGAAGGAAAUGAGCCACUUUAUUAAGCUUGUCGAUGACAAUGAAGAUAGUAUCAUUUCCACGCUUGGACUUGGGAAAUCUAGUCACGAAGUCCAUCUCAAUAUGGUCAAACUUCCAUUCUUGUCGUGGAUUUGUCACGGCAGAUGUCCUUAGUGUGAGGACUUAGUCGUGAGGCCAACGCAUCUUUGUAGUAGCUUGAGAGGGGUUAAGUGGGACGAGAGACGCAGAGCAGAUCAAAGCACAAGACAAGGAUUUAGACAGCUUCGGGCUCCGGGAAACAUCAUCCGGUAAUAGCCCUACAUGCUGUUUGUGGCUAGGUCUCAUUAUGCUCAUGAGGGAGUCGCCGCAUAAGCCGGCUCCCCUCUAGUUGUUUCUAGCCUUAGCUAUUGUUUCUUGUUGCUUCUCCCUCUUUGGGGAGCCCUGCCCCUCCUUAUAUAAGUUGAAGGGGCGGCUUACAUGUAGAGUCCUAGUAGGAUUAGAACUAACUUAUUCAUAAUUACAAGUCGGAUACAAGUACGAGUCUUGCUUCCUCAUAAAGGAAAUAUUCCUCAUGCCUUCCGUCUUAAGCCGACCCACUAUAACAUGAGCCAGCCUAGUGGGCCUUGGGCCCUUGUCAUCCAUCUGACCCGCCGUCAGGGCCAUUAUUAAGUCGCGAGGCUCGUGAGUCAUCACACCAGUGAACUGCUAGACCCAUGAGUCGCCAAUCCUCCGGUGGGCCAUGAUGAAGCGCCAAGUCGGGCCAGGUCGUACUUCCGGCUGGGUCAUACCGCGGGGUAUAUCCCUGAUAUUAGCCCCCAGUUUAAUUUGGAUUUAUCCAUGUUAAACUGAUUCUGCAAAAUAAACAUAAGAACAAAUUUGACGGGUUGUGCUCCAGGUUAAAUAUUCUUGUAAGCCGACACUUGAUCAUCCUUAAGUCCUUGACAUUUUCUCCUGGAAAAUCCGGGUCAAUAGGCCAGCUUCAUAAUCUAUUUGCUGACAUUGCGUCCUGUAAAGAAAUAUUAUAGGAAAUGAUCCAUUUGAGUCGGCCUUCAAUGCUUUGAUUUGACAAAAAUAUGGUCUUGAAAUAUUCAACUGAUAUUCAGCCGGCUUAAAGAUGUAGAUCUUGCCGAUUUAUGAUUUCCAAAAUUGUCAGGUUAUAAACAAAUGAUACCGGGUCAUGUAAUUGUUGCUGAUGCCGGGUUAAUCUUAGGAUGACGCCGGGUCAUAAACAUUGCAGAUUUCUCCGAUAAUAAUAUAAUACCUGAUUUGCUCAAAACUGAGAAUUUGAAAUUGUUCCUCCCUUACAUGCAUAUCACCUGUAGCCCCCAAGUGUCGGGUUGUCAUGCUUGCAACAACCUGGAACUUGUAAUUACCUUAUGCUCAUAAAAAUUUCAACCAGUGUAGCCCCGAAGGGCCGGGUCAUUAUGCAAUAAUGAGCAGGGACUUUGUAAAUAUGAUCAUGUAAACUUGAGCAGCAACGUGUAGCCCCCAAGGGCCGGCUUAGUAAGAUAUUACUGAGCUGGGACUUUGUAUAUGAUUCAUUGAUAAUAACAUCAUAUGAUGUAAUCUCCACCAUGGGGCUUGAACCCACAUCCACAAGGUUAAGAGCUUUGUACUCUACCAACCAAGUAGUGGAUCUUUCAAUAUAAUGGAUUAAGGCUUGUGUACCUUGAAUUUUCGACAGGAGCAAUUGGUAGCCCCCAAGGGCCGGCUCAUUUAGAAUGUGAUGAGUCGGGUCUUCAAUAAGUUGAGCAAAAAUGACUUUGCAUUAGCCCCCAAGUGCCAUGGUGCAUGCUAGCAGUGACAUGGGACUUGCAUAUUUGAUAUAAUCUCAAUCUGAAUAAUGUAGCCCCCAAGUGCCGGGUCGUAAGCCUGCAGCGACUCGGGACUAUUCUUUCCAUUGUAGAAUAAAUCAUAUCCAUUGAUAAAAUAAUAGCCAUUGCGCCAAAGCGACUUUGAAUGCCUUAUCUGUUGACAAGUAAAUCCGGAGUUUAAAUACCCGGCGGCUCUUGGCCGAUGGCGAUUUAAUAUGCCUCCGUUGUAAGCCGGAAUUUUUAUAACCCGGCGGCUUAUAGACUUUGAGAAAAUCAAGAAUUGAUAACCCUUUUGAGACACCAAUUUCAAUCUUUGAUGAUGGGCUGGAACUUAAUCAUUUAUGUAAAUCAUAGCUCUGUAAAUCCUGCACAGAGUUUAAACAACAUAUGCCCUGGCGACUUAACGUCAAAAGCCAGGGCGGGUAACCACCCAAAUGUAGUCUUAUCCUGCACACAAGUAGAUCACAAGAUCCCUUGGCGGUUUACCGCAGGGCGGGUCAUAAUAUCCCGCAUAUAACCAUUGUGAUAUUGAAUUUGUACUGCCGGUUUACAUGACCUGUGCAGUAAGGGUGAUAACCCAAUCCUUAGAAGCCAAUACUUCCAAAUAUAUGAUGAUUGUCACAUGCUGGCGACUUAUCGUCCAAAGCCAAGCCGGGUUUAAACGAAACCACACUUAUACUUAGAUCUGAACAAAAAAGUCUCAAGACAAAACCAAAUAUUGUUUGCAAAAACUUAAACCAAAUAAAAAUCGAGGUUUGUGAUUCGAAUACGACUAGUAAACCGUUCCAAAGGGGUUAAGCUAGGAUUCAAAUACGAUCAUGUAGCCCAAGUGGCUUUGGCGUUGCGCCGAUCAAGAGGGUACCGACAGCUAUGUUCUCUUUGGUUCGAAUACGACCUAUGUUUGAACAGGAAGCCCCCAAAUGACCUUGAGAGGUUUGUAACGACCCUGGUUUGAAUACGAUCCAAGUCGGACCCAAAAGGGGUUAAGCUAUGAUUUGAAUACGAUCAAGAAGCCCCCUAGUGAGUUUGGCAGUGUGCCGAUAAAGAGGGUACCGACAGCUAUGUUCUCUUUGGUUCGAAUACGACCUAUGUUUGAACAGGAAGCCCCCAAAUGAACUUGAGAGGUUUUUAACGACCCUGAUUCGAAUACGAUCCAAGUCGGACCCAAAGUGGGCGCCAACUGUUGUGGAUUUGUCACGACAGAUGUCCUUAGUGUGAGGACUUAGUCGUGAGGCCAACGCAUCUUUGUAGUAGCUUGAGAGGGGUUAAGCGGGACGAGAGACGCAGGGCGGAUCAACGCACAAGACAAGGAUUUAGAUAGCUUCGGGCUCCGGGAAACAUCAUCCGGUAAUAGCCCUACAUGUUGUUUGUGGCUAGGUCUCAUUAUGCUCAUGAGGGAGUCGCCGCAUAAGCCGGCUCCCCUCUAGUUGUGUAUAGCUUUAGCGAUUGUUUCUUUUUGUUUCUCCCUCUUUGGGGAGCCCUGCCCCUUCUUAUAUAAGUUGAAGCGGUGGCUUACAUGUAGAGUCCUAGUAGGAUUAGAACUAACUUAUUCUCUAUUACAAGUCGGAUACAAGUACGGGUCUUGCUUCCUCGUAAAGGAAAUAUUCCUCAUGCCUUCCGUCUUAAGCCAGCCCACUAUAACAUGACCCGGCCUACUGGGCCUUGGGCCCUUGUCAUCCACCUGACCCGCCAUCGGGGCCAUCAUUAAGUCGCCAGGCUCGUGAGUCAUCACACCAGUGAACUGCUAGACCCGUGAGUCGCCAAUCCUCCGGCGGGCCACGAUGAAGCGCCAAGUCUGGCCGGGUCAUACUUCCGGCUGGGUCAUACCACGGGGUAUAUCCCCGACAAUUCUGGAAUAGCAAGAGGUUGGAGGAGACCAACUAGCCCUUGGUGUUCUGUUUUCACCCUUCUACAGACAUCACUUUCAUUCACGAAUUGAGCAAUUUCUCGCUUCAUUCGAGUCCACCAAUACGACUGCUUGAGGUCAUGGUACAUCUUCGUACUUCUAGAAUGAAUGGAUAGAAGGGAACUAUUGUUGGAAAUAUGCCCUAGAGGCAAUAAUAAAAGUAUUAUUAUUAUAUUUCCUUGUUCAUGAUAAUUGUCUUUUAUUCAUGCUAUAACUGUAUUAUCCGGAAAUCGUAAUACACGUGUGAAUACAUAGACCACAAUAUGUCCCUAGUGAGCCUCUAGUUGACUAGCUCGUUGUGAUCAACAAAUAGUCAUGGUUUCCUGGCUAUGGACAUUGGAUGUCGUUGAUAACGGGAUCACAUCAUUAGGAGAAUGAUGUGAUGGACAAGACCCAAUCCUAAGACUAGCACAAAAGAUCGUGUAGUUCAUUUGCUAGAGCUUUGCCAAUGUCAAGUAUCUCUUCCUUGACCAUGAGAUCGUGUAACUCCUGGAUACCGUAGGAGUGCUUUGGGUGUAUCAAACGUCACAACGUAACUGGGUGACUAUAAAGGUGCACUACAGGUAUCUUCGAAAGUAUCUAUUGUUUUAUGCGGAUCGAGACUGGGAUUUGUCACUCCGUGUAAACGGAGAGGUAUCUCUGGGCCCACUCGGUAGGACAUCAUCAUAUGCGCAAUGUGACCAAGGAGUUGAUCACGGGAUGAUGUGUUACGGAACGAGUAAAGUGACUUGCCGGUAAUGAGAUUGAACAAGGUAUCGGUAUACCGACGAUCGAAUCUCGGGCAAGUAAAAUACCGCUAGACAAAGGGAAUUGUAUACGGGAUCGAUUGAGUCCUUGACAUCGUGGUUCAUCCGAUGAGAUCAUCGUGGAACAUGUGGGAGCCAACAUGGGUAUCCAGAUCCCGCUGUUGGUUAUUGACCGGAGAACGUCUCGGUCAUGUCUGCAUGUCUCCCGAACCCGUAGGGUCUACACACUUAAGGUUCGAUAACGCUAGGGUUAUAAAGGAAGCUUGUAUGUGGUAACCGAAUGUUGUUCGGAGUCCCGGAUGAGAUCCCGGACGUCAUGAGGAGUUCCGGAAUGGUCCGGAGGUAAAGAUUUAUAUAUAGGAAGUCCUGUUUCGGGCAUCGGGACAAGUUUCGGGGUCAUCGGUAUUGUAUCGGGACCACCGGAAGGGUCCCGGGGGCCCACCGGGUGGGGCCACCUGCCCCGGGGGGCCACAUGGGCUGUGGGGGUGCGCCUUGGCCUACAUGGGCCAAGGGCACCAGCCCCAAGAGGCCCAUGCGCCUAGGGAACCCUAGAGGGAAGAGUCCUCAAGGGGGAAGGCACCUCCGAGGUGCCUUAGGGAGGAUGGACUCCUCCCCUCCUCUUGGCCGCCGCACCAGAUGCCAUCUGGAGGCUGGCCGCCGCCCCUUGGGGUGGGAAACCCUAAAGGGGGCGCAGCCCUCCCCUUCCCCUAUAUAUAUGAGGCCUAGGGGCUGCCCAUGACACACGAUUUGAUCUCUCGUUGGUGCAGCCCUGCCCCUCUCCCUCCUCCUCCUCUCCCAUGGUGCUUGGCGAAGCCCUGCUGGAUUGCCACGCUCCUCCACCACCACCAUGCCGUUGUGCUGCUGUUGGAUGGAGUCUUCCUCAACCUCUCCCUCUCUCCUUGCUGGAUCAAGGCGUGGGAGACAUCACCGGGCUGUACGUGUGUUGAACGCGGAGGUGCCGUCCGUUCGGCACUUGAUCAUCGGUGAUCUGAAUCACGACGAGUACGACUCCAUCAACCCCGUUCACUUGAACGCUUCCGCUUAGCGAUCUAUAAGGGUAUGUAGAUGCACUCUCCUUCUACUCGUAGCUGGUUUCUCCAUAGAUAGAUCUUGGUGACGCGUAGGAAAAUUUUGAAUUUCUGCUACGUUCCCCAACAGUGGCAUCAUGAGCUAGGUCUAUUGCGUAGAUUCUUUGCACGAGUAGAACACAAAGUAGUUGUGGGCGUUGAUGUUGUUCAAUAUGCUUACCGUUACUAGUCCAAUCUUGUUUCGACGGUAUUGUGGGAUGAAGCGGCCCGGACCGACCUUACACGUACUCUUACGUGAGACAGGUUCCACCGAUUGACAUGCACUUGGUGCAUAAGGUGGCUAGCGGGUGCCAGUCUCUCCCACUUUAGUCGGAACGGAUUCGAUGAAAAGGGUCCUUAUGAAGGGUAAAUAGCAAUUGGCAUAUCACGUUGUGGUUUUGCGUAGGUAAGAAACGUUCUUGCUAGAAACCCAUAGCAGCCACGUAAAACAUGCAAACAACAAUUAGAGGACGUCUAACUUGUUUUUGCAGGGUAUGCUUUGUGAUCUGAUAUGGCCAAGAAGAAUGUGAUGAAUGAUAUGUGAUGUAUGAGAUUGAUCAUGUUCUUGUAAUAGGAUCCACGACUUGCAUGUCAAUGAGUAUGACAACCGGCAGGAGCCAUAGGAGUUGUCUUUAUUUUUUUGUAUGACCUGUGUGUCAUUGAAGAACGCCAUGUAAACUACUUUACUUUAUUGCUAAACGCGUUAGUCAUAGAAGUAGAAGUAGUCGUUGGCGUGACAACUUCAUGAAGACACGAUGAUGGAGAUCAUGAUGAUGGAGAUCAUGGUGUCAUGCCGGUGACAAGAUGAUCAUGGAGCCCCGAAGAUGAAGAUCAAAGGAGCUAUAUGAUAUUGGCCAUAUCAUGUCACUACUCUAUUUGAUUGCAUGUGAUGUUUAUCAUGUUUAUGCAUCUUGUUUACUUAGGACGACGGUAGUAAAUAAGAUGAUCCCUUACAAAAUUUCAAGAAGUGUUCUCCCCUAACUGUGCACCGUUGCUACAGUUCGUCGCUUCUAAGCACCACGUGAUGAUCGGGUGUGAUGGAUUCUUACGUUCACAUACAACGGGUGUAAGACAGUUUUACAUAGCGAAAACACUUAGGGUUAACUUGACGAGCCUAGCAUGUGCAGACAUGGCCUCGGAACACGGAGACCGAAAGGUCGAGCAUGAGUCGUAUAGUAGAUACGAUCAACAUGAAGAUGUUCACCGACGUUAACUAGUCCGUCUCACGUGAUGAUCGGACACGGCCUAGUUGACUCGGAUCAUGUAAUCACUUAGAUGACUAGAGGGAUGUCUAUCUGAGUGGGAGUUCAUAAGAUGAACUUAAUUAUCUUGAACAUAGUCAAAAGACCUUUUUGCAAAUUAUGUCGUAGCUCGCGCUUUAGUUCUACUGUUUAGUUAUGUUCCUAGAGAAAAUAUAGUUGAAAGUUGACAGUAGCGAUUAUGCGAUCAGUAGAAAGCUUAUGUCCUUAAUGCACCGCUUAGUGUGCUGAACCCCAAACAUCGUUUGUGGAUGUUUCGAACAUCGAACAUACACGUUUUGAUAACUACGUGAUAGUUCAGUUAAAUGGUUUAAGUAGAGGCACCAAAGACGUUUUCGAAACGUCAUGGAACAUAUGAGAUGUUUCGAGGGCUGAAAUUGGGAUUUCAUGCUCGUGCCCACGUCAAGAGGUAUGAGACCUCCGACGAUUUUCUUAGCCUGCAAACUAAGGAGAGAAGCUCAAUUGUUGAGCUUGUGCUCAGAUUGUCUGAGUACAACAAUCACUUGAAGCAAGUGGGAGUUGAUCUUCCAGAUGAAAUAGUGAUAGUUUCUCCGAAGUCAUUACCACCAAGCUGCUAGAGCUUCGUGAUGAACUAUAACAUAUCAGGGAUAGAUAUGAUGAUCCUUGAAAUAUUCACGUUGUUUGACACCGCGAAAGUAGAAAUCAAGAAGGAGCAUCAAUUGUUGAUGGUUGAUGAAACCACUAGUUUCAAGAAGGGCAAGGGAAAGAAGGGAUGCUUCAUGAAACGGCAAAUCAGCUGCUGCACCAGUGAAGAAACCCGAGGUUGAACCCAAACCCGAGACUAAGUGCUUCUGUGAUAAGGGGAACAACCACUGGAGCAGCAUUACCCUAGAUACUUGGUAGAUGAGAAGGCUGGCAAGGUCGAUAGAAGUAUAUUGGAUAUACAUUAUGUUAAUGUGUACUUUACUAGUACUCCUAGUAGCACCAGGGUACAGGAUACCGGUUCGGUUGCUAAGUGUUAGUAACUCGAAAUAAAAGCUACGAAAUAAAACGGAGACUAGCUAAAGGUGAGCUGACGAUAUGUGUUGGAAGUGUUUCCAAGUUUGAUGUGAUCAAAAAUCGCACGCUCCCUCUACCACCGAGAUUGGUGUUUGCGUUGAGCAUAGACAAGAUUGGAUUAUGUCUAUCGCAAUACGGUUAUUCAUUUAAGGAGAAUAAUGUUUACUCUAUUGUUGAAUAAUACCUUCAAUGGUCUUGCACCUAAAGGAAUGAAUCUCGGUCGUAGUGAUACACAUUUUCAUGCCAAAAGAUAUAAGAUAGUAAUGAUAGUACCACUUACUUGUGGCACUGCCAUGUAAGUCAUAAUGGUAUAAAACGCAUGAAGAAGCUUCAUGUUGAUCGAUCUUUGGACUCACUCGUUUUUGAAAAGUUUGAGACAUGCGAACCAUGUCUAUUGGUGUAUAUGCAUGAAGAAACUCCAUGCAAAUGGACCGUUCAGACUCACUUGAUUUUGAAUCACUUGAGAUAUGCAAAUCAUACCACAUAGGCAAGAUGACUGAAAAGCCUCGGUUUCAAUAAGAUGGAACAAGAUAGCAACUUGUUGGAAGUAACACAUUUUGAUGUGUGCAGUCCAAUAAAUGCUGAGGCAUGCAGUGAAUAUCGUUAUGUUCUUACUUCACAGAUGAUUCGAGUAGAUGUUGAGAAUAUUUACUUGAUGAUACACAACUCUGAAUUAUUGAAUGGUUCAAGUAAUUUCAGGGUGAAGUAGAAGAUCAUUGUGACAAGAGGAUAAAAUGUCUAUGAUAUGAUCAUAGAGAUGAAUAUCUGAGUUACGAGUUUUGGCACACAAUUAAGACAUUGUGGAAAUUGUUUCGCAAUUAAUACCGCCUGGAACACCAUAGUGUGAUGGUGUGUCCGAACAUCAUAGUUGCACCCUAUUGGAUAUGGUGCGUACCAUGAUGUCUCUUAUCGAAUUACCACUAUCGUUCAUGGGUUAGGCAUUAGAGACAACCACAUUCACUUUAAAUAGGGCACGACGUAAUUCCGAUGAGAUGACACCUAUGAAUUAUGGUUUAGAGAAACCUAAGUUGUCGUUUCUUAAAAGUUUGGGGCUGCGACGCUUAUAUGAAAAAGUUUCAGGUUGAUAAGCUCGAACCCAAAGCGAAUAAAAUGCAUCUUCAUAGGAAACCCAAAACAGUUGGGUAUACCUCCUAAUUCAGAUCCGAAAGCAAUAUGGAUUGUUUCUAGAAUCGGGUCCUUUCUCAAGGAAAAGUUUCUCUCGAAAUAAUUGAGUGGGAGGAUGGUGGAGACUUGAUGAGGUUAUUGAAACGUCUCUUCAACUAGUGUGUGACAGGGCACAGGGAGUUGUUCCUGUGGCACCUACACCAAUUGAAGUGGAAGCUUAUGAUAUUGAUCAUGAAAUUUUGGAUCAAGUCACUCCCAAACCUCGUAGGAUGACAAGGAUGCGUACUACUUCAGAGUGGUACGUAAUCAUGUCUUGAAGGUCAUGUUGCUAGACAACAAUGAACCUACGAGCUAUGGAGAAGCGAUGGUGGGCCCGGAUUCCGAUAAAUGGCUUGAGGCCAUAAAAUCCGAGAACGGAUCCAUGGACUUUGGUGGACUUGCCCGAUGAUCGGCAAGCCAUUAAGAUAAAUGGAUCUUUAAGAAGAAGACAGACGUGGAUGGUAAUGUCACCGUCCAUGAAGCUCGACUUGUGGCGAAAAGUUUUUCACAAGUUCAAGGAGUUGACUACGAUGAGAUUUUCUCAUCCGUAGCGAUGCUUAAGUCCGUCGGAAUCAUGUUAGCAUUAGCUGCAUUUAUGAAAUCUGGCAGACGGAUGUCAAAACGAGUUUCCUUACCAGUUUUCGUAAGGAAAGGUUGUAUGUAAUACAAUCAGAAAGUUUUUGUCGAUCCUAAGGAUGCUAAAAGGUAUGCAAAGCUCCAGCAAUCCUUCUAAGGACUGGAGUGAGCAUCUCGGAGUUGGAAUGUUUGCUUUGAUGAUGAUCAAAAUUUUGGGUUUGUACAAAGUUUAUGAGAAACUUGUAUUUCCAAAGAAGUGAGUGGGAGCACUAUAGAAUUUCUGAUGAGUAUAUGUUGUUGACAUAUUGUUGAUCAGAAAUGACGUAGAAUUUCUGGAAAGCAUAUAGGGUUAUUUUGAAAGUGUUUUUCAAUGGAAAGCCUGGAUUAAGCUGCUUGAGCAUUGAGCAUCAAGAUCUAUAAGGAUAGAUCAAAACGCUUAAUGGUACUUUCAAAUGAGCACAUACCUUGACAUGAUCUUGAAGGUGUUCAAGAUGGACCAGUCAAAGAAGGAGUUCUUGCCUGAGUUGUAAGGUACAAAGUUAAGACUUAAAGCUCGACCACGGCAGAAUAGAGAGAAAGGACGAAGGUCAUCCCCUAUGCUUGAGACGUAGGCUCUUCAGUAUGCUAUGCUGUGUACCGCACCUGAAGUGUGCCUUGCCAUGAGUCAGUCAAGGGGUACAAGAGUGAUCCAAGAAUGGCUCACAGGACAGCGGUCAAAGUUAUCCUUAGAAAUUAGUGGACUAAGGAAUUUUUCUCGAUUAUGGAGGUGGUAAAAGAGUUCGUCGUAAAGGGUUACGUCGAUGCAAGCUUGACACCUAUCCGGAUAGCUCUGAGUAGAGAUACCAGAUACAUAUAAUGGAGCAACAAUUUAGAAUAGCUCCAAGUAGAACAGUUAUUUGGAAUAGCUCCAAAUAGAGCGUGGUAGCUACAUCUAGGAGAUGACAUAGAGAUUUGUAAAACACACACGGAUCUGAAAGGUUCAGACCCGUUGACUAAAACCUCUCUCACAAGCAACAUGAUCAAACUUAAAACUCAUUGAGUAUUAAUCACAUACUGAUGUGAACUAGACUACUGAUUCUAGUAAACUCUUGGGUGUUAGUCACAUGGCGAUGUGACCUGUGAGUGUUAAUCACAUGGUGAUGUGAACUAGAUUAUUGACUCUAGUGCAAGUGGGAGACUGUUGGAAAUAUGCCCUAGAGGCAAUAAUAAAAGUAUUAUUAUUAUAUUUCCUUGUUCAUGAUAAUUGUCUUUUAUUCAUGCUAUAACUGUAUUAUCCGGAAAUCGUAAUACACGUGUGAAUACAUAGACCACAAUAUGUCCCUAGUGAGCCUCUAGUUGACUAGCUCGUUGUGAUCAACAGAUAGUCAUGGUUUCCUGGCUAUGGACAUUGGAUGUCGUUGAUAACGGGAUCACAUCAUUAGGAGAAUGAUGUGAUGGACAAGACCCAAUCCUAAGACUAGCACAAAAGAUCGUGUAGUUCAUUUGCUAGAGCUUUGCCAAUGUCAAGUAUCUCUUCCUUGACCAUGAGAUCGUGUAACUCCUGGAUACCGUAGGAGUGCUUUGGGUGUAUCAAACGUCACAACGUAACUGGGUGACUAUAAAGGUGCACUACAUGUAUCUUCGAAAGUAUCUAUUGUUUUAUGCGGAUCGAGACUGGGAUUUGUCACUCCGUGUAAACGGAGAGGUAUCUCUGGGCCCACUCGGUAGGACAUCAUCAUAUGCGCAAUGUGACCAAGGAGUUGAUCACGGGAUGAUGUGUUACGGAACGAGUAAAGUGACUUGCCGGUAAUGAGAUUGAACAAGGUAUCAGUAUACCGACGAUCGAAUCUCGGGCAAGUAAAAUACCGCUAGACAAAGGGAAUUGUAUACGGGAUCGAUUGAGUCCUUGACAUCGUGGUUCAUCCGAUGAGAUCAUCGUGGAACAUGUGGGAGCCAACAUGGGUAUCCAGAUCCCGCUGUUGGUUAUUGACCGGAGAACGUCUCGGUCAUGUCUGCAUGUCUCCCGAACCCGUAGGGUCUACACACUUAAGGUUCGAUGACGCUAGGGUUAUAAAGGAAGCUUGUAUGUGGUAACCGAAUGUUGUUCGGAGUCCCGUAUGAGAUCCCGGACGUCACGAGGAGUUCCGGAAUGGUCCGGAGGUAAAGAUUUAUAUAUAGGAAGUCCUGUUUCGGGCAUCGGGACAAGUUUCGGGGUCAUCGGUAUUGUACCGGGACCACCGGAAGGGUCCCGGGGGCCCACCGGGUGGGGCCACCUGCCCCGGGGGCCACAUGGGCUGUGGGGGUGCGCCUUGGCCUACAUGGGCCAAGGGCACCAGCCCCAAGAGGCCCAUGCGCCUAGGGAACCCUAGAGGGAAGAGUCCUCAAGGGGGAAGGCACCUCCGAGGUGCCUUAGGGAGGAUGGACUCCUCCCCCCCUCUUGGCCGCCGCACCAGAUGCCAUCUGGAGGCUGGCCGCUGCCCCUUGGGGUGGGAAACCCUAAAGGGGGUGCAGCCCUCCCCUUCCCCUAUAUAUAUGAGGCCUAGGGGCUGCCCAUGACACACGAUUUGAUCUCUCGUUGGUGCAGCCCUGCCCCUCUCCCUCCUCCUCCUCUCCCAUGGUGCUUGGCGAAGCCCUGCUGGAUUGCCACGCUCCUCCACCACCACCAUGCCGUUGUGCUGCUGUUGGAUGGAGUCUUCCUCAACCUCUCCCUCUCUCCUUGCUGGAUCAAGGCGUGGGAGACAUCACCGGGCUGUACGUGUGUUGAACGCGGAGGUGCCGUCCGUUCGGCACUUGAUCAUCGGUGAUCUGAAUCACGACGAGUACGACUCCAUCAACCCCGUUCACUUUAACGCUUCCGCUUAGCGAUCUAUAAGGGUAUGUAGAUGCACUCUCCUUCUACUCGUAGCUGGUUUCUCCAUAGAUAGAUCUUGGUGACGCGUAGGAAAAUUUUGAAUUUCUGCUACGUUCCCCAACAAUUAUGUGCCUCAUUCAUAAUGACUUUCCUUAGACCACCUUUAGGAACCACAAUUCGAUCCUCGAAGAAAAGAGUGUCUUUGUCAUCAAUGCGAUAGCACUUGUAUUUAGGUUUGCUCUUGGCAAUCCCAUUUUUCACCUUCUUCACCAUGGAAUUCAGGAGUUGUGCCUCAUGAAUUUGAUCUUCCAAAGUAGGAGAGACUUGGAGGUUGGCAAGAAAGCCUUGAGGAACAACUUGGAGAUUCAGUUUGCGGAAAGCUUCACAAAGGUCCGGUUGGAAGGGCUUGAGAAUUAAACUGUUGCAGUAAGCCUUCCUGCUCAAAGCAUCUGCAAUCACAUUGGCCUUGCCUGGAGUAUAUUCAAUACUCAGAUUGUAUUCUUGAAUCAUUUCGACCCAACGAGUCUACCUGAGGUUGAGGUUGGGUUGAGUGAAGAUGUACUUGACGCUCUUAUGAUCUGUGAAGAUGCCCACUUUGUUUCCCAACAAGAGAUGUCUCCACGUUAAUAAUGCAUGGAAAACUGCCGCCAACUCAAGAACAUGAGUGGGGUAGUUCCUUUCGUUGGGCUUCAACUGACGAGAGGUAUAAGCCACAACUUUCUUCUCUUGCAUUAACACAGCACCGAGACCUUGUAGGGAGGCACCACAGAAAACUUCAAAUGGCUUGGAUUCAUCAGGAGGAGUCAAGACAGGAGCUGUGACUAACUUCUCUUUCAGGGUGUUGAAAGCAAUGUCACAUUCAGGCGUCUAGACAUACUUGACAUGCUUCUGGAGGAGGUUGGAAAGAGGCUUUGCAAUCCUAGAGAAAUUCUCAACGAAUCUUCGACAAUAUCUUGCAAGCCCAAGAAAACUACGGAGCUGCUUGACAUUUUGAGGAGGUUCCCAAUUCACAAUUGCAAACACCUUCUCAAGAUUAACAGUGAUGCCCUUGGCGGAGAUGAUAUGACCCAGGUAAAGAACCUCAUCAAGCUAGAACUCGCACUUUGAAAACUUUGCAUAGAAUUGAUGCUCUCUGAGUUUGUCAAGCACCAAUCUUAAAUGCUUGGCAUGAUCCUCCUUAUUCUUGGAAAAGACCAAGAUUUCAUCGAGAUACACCAGGACGAAAUCAUUUGUGCAAGGGUUGAAGAUGAAGUUCAUUAUGCGAGAGAACGUUGGAGGAGCCUUGACAAGGCCGAAAGAUAUGACAGUAUAUUCAUAAGAACCAUAGCUUGUUCUGAAUGCUGUCUUGGGAAUAUCUUGUUCAUGAAUGCGAAUCUGAUGAUAACCCAUAUGGAGGUCAAGCUUGGAGAAUACUUUAGCACCUUUAAGUUGCUCGAAUAGCUCAUUGAUGUUAGGGAGUGGAUACUUGUUCUUUAUUGUCUUCUUGUUUAAUGGACGGUAGUCGACGCAGAGUCGUUCCGUUCCAUCCUUCUUUUUGACAAAAAGGACACCACAACCCCAUGGGGAUGAACUCGGUAUGAUCAGACCCAUAUGCUCUUGUUCAUCGAGCUGUUUCUUCAACUCCUUCAACUCCUCUGGUCCAAGCUUGUAAGGACGCUUGCAAACAGGUUCCAUGCCAGGAUCAAGAUCGAUAACGAAUUCAACUGGCCGGUGAGGAGGCAUUCCCGGAAGCUCUUCUUGAAAGAUGUCUUGAUAUUCACAAACGACAGGAAUCUGAGAGAUGGCAUUCAACUCGCCCUUCUCAUUGAGAGAAAACAGUCGAAUGGUAUCAUCCCGAGCGGCAAAUAGGAUCACAUCAUCAGAAGAGUGUGUCAAUUGAAUUUGCAUGGCAGCACAAUCAAGCUGAGCCUUGUGCUUAGAAAGCCAGUCCAUGCCGAGAAUUAGAUCAAUAUCCGAGUCACCAAGAACAAUUGGAGAAGACAUAAAUUUAUAAUUUCCCAUCUUGAUGGAAACAUCUGGAACCAUAUAGCUUGCGUACAUGCAUUUACCCGAAGAGACAACUGCUAACGGUCUAGGCAAAUCUUGGAAAGGCAACUCAUGCUUAGAUGCAAAUGGUCUUGAGAUGUGUAGCGCCCCGAGACCGAUGCGCCAGGUGUCUUCCAGUUAUUCGCUGUCGUUACCCUGUCAUUUGCUUGCGUGUCGCAUCUUGCCAUGUCAUCAUGUGCAUUGCAUUAUCAUGUUUUCAACACUUGCAUCCGUCCAGGUUUCUCCCAGUUCUUUCCGUUGUCCGUUCUGAGCCCAGGCACACUCGCACGCUCUCGUGGCAUGUCCGAAAUAUUAUUUUAUAAGUGGUCAUAAAAUGUUCUCGGAAUGGGUUAAAAGUUGGAAUGUGGUGUUGUUAUGUUGCCAGUAGGCCGCCUGCCAAGUUUCAUCGCAUUCAGAGUCCGUUUGACGCCCCUACGGAUAACUAUAGCGGCAUUAUAGUCGGUCAAACCGUCGGACGUUUUCGAUCUCCAAGACUGCUGUCGGGCCUCUCUCUCUCUUCUCUCCCCUCGGCCCGAGGCCUUCUGCAUAGCCCACCCGCUGCCCAACCUAACCCUCCUCAUGUCCGGAGCCGUCCGAUUAUGAUCGGAGGACCCCGACACCCCCCUUGCCUCCGUGGCCUUUUGUGAGACCCCCUCUCUCCGCACAGUUCUCAGACCCCCUCGCGCGUCCGAAAACUUACCUGAACCCGACCUGAGCAGUCAUGACCGUUGGUUCCGGAUCAUCCCCAAAUGUCCCUAAAACAUCUUCGGUAUCUUAUUUGGACGCCCAUAGCCUAAUUUUCUCGACCGUCUGAUUUGAAUCGGAGGGCCCAAAUGCACCCCAAAUCCACCUGCUUUAUAAAUAUCGGUCUAACCCUAGUUUUUAGGCCCCUGUCCCAUCCAUUCCAUCCGCAGCGCCACCACUCCCUCGGGAUCUUGCCAGAUCCUUCCCGAGCCAACCACCACAGCCGCACCCAUAGACCAAAUCCUCUCAGCCAACUCCCUGGUGUUCCAUCGUCGCCCAACCACAGGAAAGCCGCGCCUCCUCGCAACCCGCCGGCGACCGGACCUUGCAGGAGAUGAGUUCCCCGCUGUGCCCUGCUCCCGUCCUUCCCCAUCUGCUCUCUCUUCUCUCUCUCACGCUCUCUCUCUCAUCUCUCCCUCUCUGUCUCUUCUCAAGGAACGAGUGGGAGACGCCAUGGCCGCCCGCGGAAGCUCCGUCGUCGCCAGGAUCAAGUUCCUCUGGCCUCGGCCCCGGAUCCGACCUCUUCAGCCUCCUGCAGACCGCCGUUACCUCUGCUUCACGGAACCACGCCACACCGUCCUGGUCACCUGCGACCUCGGGUCGUCUCUACUUCCUCUGCCUCCACAAGCCGGGUCCACCCCAUCCCCAAGCUCGCCGGUGCCUUGCCCCGGACCUCCCGUGAUGCCUGCUGCCGUUGCCGUUCCCUGCCAUGGACGCCUCCCUCCUCCUGCAUCGUGCACUUGCGCAAGAACGAGCACGCGUCCCACUCCCCUGUAGCUUGUGUCGACCGCGUUGAACGUCGCCGGACACCUCUAGAUCCGGCCACUGGGACCCGAGCCGCGCAGGAUCCUUUCGUGGCUCCCGCUGGCCCUCCUCCUUGCCUUGUUCGUCCGUUGCCAUCCCUACCGAUGUCCCCGGUGUCGUCAACCACCUCCUCCUCCUCUGCUUUGAGCAGGAGGACAAGAAGCGCCCGAUCCGCCUCGUUCUCUCGUCAACGCCCGCGCGUGGCCUCUGUGCCCGUUGACCUGGCCUCGUGGGCCUCGCCCCGGCCCAGCAGCGCCCCGCCAGCCUCUCCACCGAACCGGCCUGUUAGGCCCAAUGGUGAGAACACCACAACCCAGCGCCCAGCCAGUUUCGGCCUGCUACGUUUUUUCCUGUUAUGUGAAUUUCCUAAUUUCCACAAAAUUGGCAGUUUUACAGAAAAGCCCUUCAAGUCCAUGCAUUUAAUAACUAUAUAACCAUGCAUCAUAUGUAAAAACUUCAAAUAUGGAAAAUGCUUAGAAUUGCAUCUAGAUUCAUAAUAUCCAACUUUCAUGCAUGUUUAAAAUGUUGUUUGAUUAAAUUUGCUCUAAUAACAUGCUAAAAUGAUUUAAUUCAUAACUAAAUAACUGUAGCUCCAUUUUAAAUAAACUUUAUAUAUAAAUGGGGUAGAAAAAUGCAUAGAUUAACAUGGUGGCAUUACUUUGCAUGUUUGACAACUCUAAAAUAUGGUUUAGGGCAGAACAGUACCAAACCUAAUAUAUGCAUAUGAGGAUUUUCCAGAAUUGUUGUUUGUUAUUCCCGGCCUCAUUUAAACUUGCCUAGAUAGGUAGUUUUCAUAUGCUUCACCUCUUGCCAUGCUAACCAACAUUUAAUAUUGUUAAGUACACAAACGGAAGAGAACUAAAUAAGUCAUGUGGUGUUUCAUCAAUAUGCAACUCGUUGCAUAUUGAGCUCCACUUAAUUUGUAGUAUUGUUUGUGCAUUUUGCCAUGCCAUGCCUCUUUAAACCGGACAUGCAUCAUACUUGGUUGUGCACCAUGCCAUGUUUAUGUGAUGGGUGUUUACUAUUUAGUUUGCUUCUUUACGGGUUGCUUCUCUCGUUAGCUUCGGUUUCGUUCCGGAGUUGUGAGGAUUCAUUCGUAUACGUCCGUUUGUCUUCUUCAUGGACUCGUUCUUCUUCCUUGCGGGAUAUCAGGCAAGAUGACCAUACCCUCGAAACCACUUCUAUCUUUGCUUGCUAGUUGUUCGCUCUAUUGCUAUGUCGCGCUACCUACCACUUGCUAUAUCAUGCCUCCCAUAUUGCCAUGUCAAGCCUCUAACCCACCUUCGUAGCAAACCGUUGUUUGGCUAUGUUACCGCUUUUGCUCAACCCCUCUUAUAGCGUUGUUAGUUGCAGGUGAAGAUAAAGUUUAUUCCAUGUUGGAACAUGGAUUUUGUUGGGAUAUCAUUAUUAUCUCUUAUUUACUUUAAUGCAUCUAUAUACUUGGUAAAGGGUGGAAGGCUCGGCCUUAUGCCUGGUGUUUUGUUCCACUCUUGCCGCCCUAGUUUCUGUCAUACCGGUGUUAUGUUCCUUGAUUUUGCGUUCCUUACGCGGUUGGGUGUUAUGGGAACCCCUUGACAGUUUGAUUUGAAUAAAACUCCUCCAGCAAGGCCCAACCUUGGUUUUACAUUUGCCUAACAACCUAUAAAUUUUCCCUUGGGAGUCGCGCUCCCGAGGGUCAUCUUUAUUUUAACCCCCCCGGGCCAGUGCUUCUCUAAGUGUUGGUCCGAACCAGAUCCACUUGCAGCGCCACCUUGGGGAAAAUUGAGGGCAGGUUUUAGCUGUACGUAGUGUUCAUCCGGUGUUGCCCUGAAAACGAGAUAUGUGUAGCUCCUAUCAGGAUGUCGGUGCAUCGGGCGGUCUUGCUGGUGUUGUUUUACCAUUAUUGAAAUGUCUUGUAAUCGGGAUUCUGAGACUGAUCGCAACACUUUUCGAGGGUAGAGUAUUCAACCCAAAUUUAUUGACUCGACACAAGGGGAGCCAAAGAAUAUUCUCAAGUAUUAGCAGCUUAGUUGUCAAUUCAACCACACCUAGAAACUUAAUAUCUGCAACAAAGUAUUUAGUAGCAAAGUAAUAUGAUAGUAGUGGUAAUGGUGGUAAAAGGUAACGAUAGCAAAGGUAAAUUUUUUGGUGUUUUGUAGUGAUGAUAACAAUAGCAACGGAAAAGUAAAUAAGCGAAGAACAAUAUAUGGAAAGCUCGUAGGCAAUGGAUUGGUGAUGGAGAAUUAUGCCGGAUGCGGUUCAUCAUGUAACAGUCAUAAUCUAGGGUGACACAGAACUAGCUCCAGUUCAUCAAUGUAAUGUAGGCAUGUAUUCCGAAUAUAGUCAUACAUUCUUAUGCAAAAGAACUUGCAUAACAUCUUUUGUCCUACCCUCCCGUGGCAGCGGGGUCCUACUGGAAACUAAGGGAUAUUAAGGCCUCCUUUUAAUAGAGUACCAGACAAAAACAUUAACACAUAGUGAAUACAUGAAAUCCUCAAACUACGGUCAUCACCGGUAAGUAUCCCGAUUACGGUCACUUCGGGGUUAACGGAUCAUAACACAUAAUAGGUGACUAUAGACUUGCAAGAUAGGAUCAAGAACUCUCAUAUAUUGAUGAAAACAUAAUAGGUUCAGAUCUGAAAUCAUGGCACUCGGGCCCUAGUGACAAGCAUUAAGCAUAGCAAAGUCAUAACAACAUCAAUCUCAGAACAUAGUGGAUACUAGGGAUCAAACCCUAACAAAACUAACUCAAUUACAUGAUAAAUCUCAUCCAAACCAUCACCGUCCAGCAAGCCUAGCUACGAUGGAAUUACUCACGCACGGCGGUGAGCAUCAUGAAAUUGGUGAUGGAGGAUGGUUGAUGAUGACGAUGGCGACGGAUUCCCCUCUCCGGAGCUCCAAACGGACUCCAGAUCAGCCCUCCCGAGAGAGUUUAGGGCUUGGCGGCGGCUCUGUGUCGUAAAACAUGAUGAAUCCUUCUCCCUGGGUUUUUUCUCCCCGAAAGUGAAUAUAUGGAGUCAAGGUUGAGGUCGGUGGAGCGUCAGGGGGCCCACGAGGCAGGGGGCGUGCCCAGGGGGGUAGGGCGCGCCCCACCCUCGUGGACAGGUGGAGGCCCCCCUGACGUGGAUCUUACUUCCAUUUUUUUACUAUAUAUUCCAAAAUAAUUCUUCGUUGAUUUUCAGGUCAUUCCGAGAACUUUUAUUUCUGCACAAAAAUAACACCAUGGCAAUUCUGCUGAAAACAGCGUCAGUCCGUGUUAGUUCCAUUCAAAUCAUGCAAGUUAGAGUCCAAAAUAAGGGAAAAAGUGUUUGGAAAAGUAGAUACGAUGGAGACGUAUCAACUCCCCCAAGCUUAAACCUUUGCUUGUCCUCAAGAAAUUCAGUUGAUAAACUGAAAGUGAUAAAGAAAAACUUUUACAAACUCUGUUUGCUCUUGUUGUUGUAAAUAUGUAAAGCCAACAUUCAACUUUUCCGCAAAGAUUCUGAACUAACCAUAUUCACAAUAACAUUUAGGUCUCAUGUUUACUCAUAUCAAUGGCAUAAUCAACUAGCGAGCAAUAAUAAUAAAUCUCGGAUGACAACACUUUCUCAAAACAGUCAUGAUAUGAUAUAACAGGAUGGUAUCUCGCUAGCCCUUUCUGAGACUGCAAAACAUAAAUGCAGAGCACCUUUAAAGAUCAAGGACUGACUAGACAUUGUAAUUCAUGGUAAAAGAGAUCCAUGUCGUGGUUCUAAGCCUGACAGUAGAGUGGGGGUAGGUAUGGAGAGGCAAGGUCCUAGCAAUGGAGAGGUUGUAAACACAAGAGAUGUACGAGUUCAGGCCCUUCUCGGAAGAAGUAAUAGCCCUACGUCUCGGAGCCCGGAGGCGGUCGAGUGGAUUAUGAGUAUAUGAGUUACAAGGUGUCGAACCCCUCUACCUGUGGAGGGGGGCGGCUUAUAUAGAGUGCGCCGGGACCCCAGUCAGCCCACGUAGGAGAGGGUUUAAGGUGAGUUAAGUCCGGGGCGUUACUGAUAACGCCCCACAUAAAGUGUCUUUACUACCAUAAAGUCUACUUAAUUACAGGCCGUUGCAGUGUAGAGUGCCUCUUGACCUUCUGGUGGUCGAGUGAGUCUUCGUGGUCGAGUCCUUCAAGUCAGUCGAGUGAGUCCCUCGUUGGUCGACUGGAAGGCGACCUUUGCUAAGGGUGUCCUUGGGUAAGGUACUUAGAUCAGGUCUAUGACCCUACCCUAGGUACAUGACCCCAUCAUUAGCCCCCGAAUGGAUUGAGGCUUCGAGUGAGGAAGGAGUUGAUGUCGUUUCCGAUUAACCUUUGCACUCUGGUCGUGCGUUGUUCUGGACCAAAGAAUCUCUUCGUCGAUGGUGAGCAACUUGUCUUCAGUCGACUCGAUCCAUUCUCUUCUUUCUUCGAGUGAUCUUUCGGGCUUCGACGAUCCCCGAGCGACGGAUCGCGGGAAACCCCGCGUCUGACAGACUGAUCUGCCGUUCACGGAUUCCGCGGGAUGCGAAAUUUGGGGACGCGCGUGAAGCGGAGCGGACCGCGGCGUUCGGAUGGGACGGGACAUAGACGCCUCGAUCUCCGCGCCGCUUUCUUCGCCAUGUAUCCCGUCUGCAUAACUGUUCCUGGAUAUGAUUAGAUCGACCAGGCCCACCUGUCAUCCACUCGAAAGGGACCUUAUAAAUGCGCCCGGCGAGGAUUUUUGUACUGUGCCUCAGCAUUCUCUCUCUCUGCUCCCUUCGUCUCCGUCCAGCGCGCUCGCUCUUGCCCCCGCACAACUUCCCCUCGCGCAUCUCGCCGGCAACCAUGGCCAAGGAGAAGACGGCGGCGCUGGAACGUGCGAAGAAGGCGUCGGCGUCAGAGAAGGCGAAGGGGAGAUCUACCAGCCGCGGCGGGUCUUCGUCCAGAUCCCGCCUACCGAAGGGCUGGGUCCAAGGAGACUGGAUCCAGUCGACCAUCACAGAAAAAGAUCUCCUCGACAUGGCCAACGAGGGCUUGAUCCCUCAUGGAGCCGCGAGGCUUCCGGGGAAGGAAUGGCAGCCCCAGCCAGAAGAGGGUGAGUGUGUGCUCUUGGCCACCCAUGUUGAUCGUGGAUUUUCUUUGCCGCCGAGUAUUUUCUUCCGUGGCUUCUUGAACUUCUUUGGAGCACAGCUCCACCACUUUACCCCAAAUUCUAUCGCCUAUCUUGCCGCAUUUGUGUCCAUGUGUGAGGGUUUCCUGGGCUGCCGACCGCACUGGGGUUUGUUCAAGCAUAUAUUCACGUGUCGCUCUCAGACCGUGAAGAAGGCGAGCCCAGGCGAUGAAAGAACCCGAGUCGUCCAAAUGUGUGGGGGUCUGGGGAUCCAGGUGAGGAACAAGAGCACCUUCCCGCCCAUGACCUUUCCCGAGUCAGUCAGAGGCUGGCAGUCGACCUGGUUCUACUGCCAGGACCAGUCGACGCCGGGGCAGUCGAGUGGACUCCCUCAGUUUACCAUGGACUGAGUGAACAAGCCCUCCUCUCUGAAGUUGAUUCCGGAGGAGAAAGCUGACGUGAAGAUGUUGAUGGAGCGCGUGGUGCAGUUGGUUCGAGAGGGAGUGACGGGCAUGGAUCUCCUGGAGGUCUUCCUUAGGCGUCGCAUCCAGCCCCUUCAGUUCCAGAGCCACUACAUGUGGUUGUACUGUGGGACUGAAGACGAGACUCGAGUCCAUCCAGAAGCAGUCGACGAUGUCACUCUGGAAAGAUGGAUGGUAGCCGUUACCGGAAACAAGGAUAACCCACGCGGAGCCAGAAGGAUUCCUCCACUCGACCACAACAGCGAUCCAAACAAGGUACGUUUGCUCUGCUCUCCACUGUGUUCUUGUCACAUUCAUUUCUGUUUAUCCUGUCGACUGGUCGAUUGAUCCUUGUCUUGAUAUCUGCUAGGCCCUCACCGAGCUGUACUCGAUGCCCAAUGGGGCGCAAGCUCCGACUGAGGAGGGGGAGGCGAGUGGAGGCGAGAGCCAGGAAGAGGAGGAAUGGGACUCGGACGUUGCUGAGGAUGAUGAUGACGAUGACGAUGAUGACGGUGAUGAAGAUGAUGUUGAAGACGAGGAAGAAGAGGAGGAGGAGGUCGUACCACCGCGCUCGGAAAGGCGGUCGAAGCUUGUCCACGACCCUUCGACUGAACGUGGUAAGGGGGUUGCGACCGCUGCUCAGUCGACCAAACGCCCUCGGACCACCUCUCCAGUGCCGACUGAAAAGGCGCCGAAGCAGCCCAGGGUGGCCUCGUCGAAGCCGAUCAAGCUCCUGCCGAAGAUGAAGGUGUCCAUCCCCACCAUAUCAGGGUAAUCGUGCUACUUAAGUCUUCUUAUUUUGUGUGAACUUUGUCCCUGGUUGACGCUGAAGUUAGUCGACUGAUUCUUUGGAGUUGCAGUGCUGCUACUUCUGAGACCUCAGCCCGGGCUGAUGACCAUGAGAUGGAGGACGCAGCAACUUCAAAACCAGGUACUAUAUUCUUAACGCCGUUUUUAGUCGAUUGACUCGCGAUCUCUGAUCCUGAUUCUUCUCCGUAGCUCCACCCAAUGCUAUUAUCAAUCUCCCUGAUGAUGAUGAGGAUGAGGAACCGCUGAAGCGUAGAAGGAGUAGAAAGGCGUCCGCCAGCAAGGUGCCCCAGGAUGUGACGGCGCCUGAGAUUCUGAUUGCGGAGGAAGAGAACACCACUCGACACACGGUGUCCUUCGCAGAUCCAUUGACGAGUGCUCAGCAGCCCUCCCUCUUCACGACGCACCACGUCCCAGAGGACCAAGCUGGCGCGGCGAAGGAGGCGAUACGCCAGGCGGGAAUCAUGAUGGAGCAGUUGAAGACCAUCCGGGAUGCGAGCCAGGCAUCUUAUGACGCCAGUUCUGCUCUCCAAAGCAAUGUUCAGGUCAGUCGACCACCGUUUGUUCUGUUGGAUAUGCUACCAAAAACUUUUCCUUUCCGGAAUUUAUAGUAGUCACCCACUGGGUGUGUCGAUUAAACUCCGUGUUAGCGGGGGCACGCUGAGUGCACCCGCUGGGUGUAGUCCCCAAGGCUAAGGUCGACUGCUGGCAGUCGGCCUUAGGCUUUAUGAUGUCAAUCUUUCUGUCAGUCGACUAUGUCGACUGGAUUUCACAAACCGGUGGGGGCACGUUGAGUGCACCCACUGGGUGUAGUCCCCGAGACUGUGGUCGACUGCUUGCAGUUGAUUACAGUCUUAAAGAAUACAUCUCUUUUUUUUGAGGUCGACUGGUCGACUUUAUCUUCAACAGGAUCAGUGGGGGCACGCUGAGUGCACCCACUGGGUGUAGUCCCCGAGACUACGGUCGAAUGCUUGUAUUCGGCUGUAGUCUUAGAAACGUGUGUUUUUUCCUUUUUCACUCGGAAGUGAAUUAUAUUUGACAUUUAGUCGAUUGGUUCUUCGCAGAACUCCUGUGAUCUUGUGGCUCGCUACUCUGAGCUGGAAAACAAGCACACUCAACUCGAGCUGAGCUUGAAGCUGGUUCAGGAGAAGCUGACGAAGGCAAAGGAGGAGACCGAAGGUAUGUUUGGUGAGACCCUGAUGACUGCUUUUCCCCUUGCUUGUUUCAAAAUCUGAUCUUGCUGUAACUUGCAGGUAAGGUAAGGGAGGCCCAACAGAAGAAAGACCUCGAACUAGCUGAGAAGAUCAAGCUUGCUGACGAGAAGUUAGCUUCAGUCACCAAGCUUGAACAAGACAAUACCAAUCUGAAAGCUGCUCUUGGGAUUGCCAACAAGGAGGUCAGUCGACUAAAAACUGAUAAAGCUGCCCUGACCGACCAAGUCAGUAAGUUGACUGGGAAGAAAAAUGAUCUGGAGGCCUUCCUGAGUGGUCUUGCCAAGAAGCUGUUUCUUAUGCUUGAAGGUAAACCUCUAUGCUCGGCAAACAUUUCCAAUCGUGGUUUUUCCAUUCGACCAUCCCCUUGACUUAGUGAUCAUCCUUGCAGAAUUUUGUCAAAACUUUGAAGAAGAAACUAGCCGGCUGGAGCCGAACCUCGACCCCGUCAAUUCUCCGGUGAACGACGAAGUUGCCAUGGAUGUUUUCCGACUGGAGUCUCGUGUUGCAGCUGUCGUGGACAAUCUCGCAAGGCUGAAGGCCACCACAUCUCGCAUCGACUCGACGCUCUGGCCUGAGGAGACACUUCAGAAUGACCUUGAGUCGCUGAUGGCCCGCUUGAACACGAUCCCUGGUCGAGUGCAGGAAUGGAAGAAGUCCUCGGCUCGGUGUGGUGCAGAUGUUGCUCUGUGUCUGGCCCGAGUCCACUGUAAAGAUGCGCGAGAAGAGAAGCUGGCGGCCCUUUGGGUGGCCAACACCAAGAAACACGACUUUAGGUCCUUUAUGGAAACUUUCCUUGCGGCUGCCACUCGGAUCACCGACGGAAUUGACCUUGAUGAAUUCGUUGCACCUUCCAGCCCUCCACAGGAGGGGUAAAAAACUUCUUCUGGCUCGACGCUUUAAAUUUGCCUCGGUAUGCCGAGUGGAAUUGUAACCGAUAAACCUUAACAGGCUUAACGCCUGAGCACUUUCGGUUCCUUUAGAUAUCGAUUCAAACUUGAAUUUGGUGCUUGAAUACGAUUGCCUUUGGCUCGAAAUGUCUUUUGCAGGUUCAAAGCAAGGCGCCUUUACUGCAAUCGACUUAUUCUUUAGUCCACUUAGGCGAGUGCUUGGACUGCAGCUAAGCCCCCGAGUGAGAGGCUUGCUCUUCACUCGGUUGGAUUUUUUACAACUUAGGCGAGUGCUUGGACUGCAGCUAAGCCCCCGAGUGAGAGGCUUGCUCUUCACUCGGUAGGAUUUUUUACAACUUAGGCGAGCACAUGGCUGCAGCUAAGCCCCCGAGUGAAAGUCUGGCUUACCACUCGGUAGGAUUUUGAUAACUUAGGCGAGUGCUUGGACUGCAGCUAAGCCCCCGAGUGAGAGGUUCGCUCUUCACUCGGUAGGAUUUUNNNNNNNNNNNNNNNNNNNNNNNNNNNNNNNNNNNNNNNNNNNNNNNNNNNNNNNNNNNNNNNNNNNNNNNNNNNNNNNNNNNNNNNNNNNNNNNNNNNNNNNNNNNNNNNNNNNNNNNNNNNNNNNNNNNNNNNNNNNNNNNNNNNNNNNNNNNNNNNNNNNNNNNNNNNNNNNNNNNNNNNNNNNNNNNNNNNNNNNNNNNNNNNNNNNNNNNNNNNNNNNNNNNNNNNNNNNNNNNNNNNNNNNNNNNNNNNNNNNNNNNNNNNNNNNNNNNNNNNNNNNNNNNNNNNNNNNNNNNNNNNNNNNNNNNNNNNNNNNNGGAGAGUGCUUGGACUGCAGCUAAGCCUCCGAGUGAGAGGGUUGCUCUUCACUCGGUAGGAUUUUUGUAACUUAGGCGAGCACAGGGCUGUAGCUAAGCCCCCGAGUGAAAGUCUGGCUUACCACUCGGUAGGAUUUCGAUAACUUAGGUGAGUGCUUGGACUGCAGCUAAGCCCCCGAGUGAGAGGUUUGCUCUUCACUCGGUAGGAUUUUUACAAACUUAGGCGAGUGCUUGGACUGCAGCUAAGCCCCCGAGUGAGAGGUUUGCUCUUCACUCGGUAGGAUUUUUACAAACUUAGGCGAGUCCUUGGACUGCAGCUAAGCCUCCGAGUGGAAGUCUGGCUUACUGCUCGGUAGGAUUUUGAUAACUUAGGCGAAACGGAUUCGCAGCUAAGCCUCCGAGUGGGAGUCUGGCUCACCACUCGGUAGGAUUUUUACAAACUUAGGCGAAACGGAUUCGCGGCUAAGUCACCCACUGAGGGGGAAUUUUAUUGGACAAAAAUAAAAAGUGACAGAAAUUAUGGAGGAACUAUGACACUAUUAUUUUGAGGUCCAUGAACUACAGAAGUACUUUAUUGCAACUCAUCCGAGUGAUAAAACUUAAGUAUAAAAUGGGCGUAGUAGUUCCGCGUUCCAAGCUCGGGGCUCGUCGAUAUUAUGCUCGACGUUGUAAAGACGGUACGCCCCGUUGUGGAGAACCUUGGUGACGAUGAAGGGACCUUCCCAAGAAGGAGCAAGCUUGUGUGGUUUGUGCUGAUCCACUCGGAGAACUAAAUCUCCUUCCUGGAAGGCUCGACCUCUCACAUUUCUGGCGUGGAAACGACGCAAAUCUUGUUGGUAGAUGGUCGAACGGAUCAGAGCCAUCUCCCUUUCUUCCUCUAAAAGGUCGACUGCGUCGUGCCGCGCUUGUUCAGCCUCUGCUUCGUUGUAGAUUUCAACUCGAGGAGCAUUGUGGAGAAGAUCACUCGGCAAGACUGCUUCAUCUCCGUAGACCAAGAAGAAUGGAGUUCUUCCGGUCGACCGAUUAGGUGUGGUCCGCAGCCCCCAAAGCACUGAGGGAAGUUCGUCGACCCAAGCUCCAGCCGCGUGUUUGAGAUCACGCAUCAGUCGGGGCUUCAAUCCCUUAAGAAUCAGUCCAUUAGCUCGCUCUGCUUGUCCAUUCGACCGCGGAUGGGCGACUGAAGCGUAGUCGACCCGUGUGCCUUGGGAGUUGCAGAAAUCUCUGAAUGAUGCUGUGCGGGACUCCAUAUCUGAAUAUUAGUUCCCUGAUGAAGCUAACAUCAGUACCGGUGUCAAGGUUCUUGAUUGGUUUAGCCUCGAUCCACUUGGUGAACUUGUCGACUGCCACCAGUACAUGGGUGAAGCCACUUCGUCCUGUUCUCAAAGGACCGACCAUGUCCAGUCCCCAUACUGCGAAAGGCUAGACGAGUGGGAUGGUCUUCAGAGCCGACGCAGGCUUGUGCGACAUAUUCGAGUAGAACUGACAUCCCUCGCACUUAUCCACUAUCUCUUUUGCCAUCUCAUUCGCCUUUGGCCAGUAAAAUCCGGCUCGGUAUGCUUUGGCCACGAUGGUCCGAGAGGACGCAUGAUGACCACAGGUCCCUGAGUGGAUAUCAUUGAGGAUGAGUCGACCUUCUUCUGGUGUUAUGCACUUCUGACCAACUCCAGUCGCGCUUUCUCUGUAUAAUUGUCCUUUGAUUACGGUAAAGGCCUUAGAUCGACGGACGAUCUGUCGAGCCUCUUCCUCAUCCUCCGGAAGCUCUUUUCUCAGGAUAUACGCGACAUACGGAACUGUCCAGUCGGGAAUGACCACCAAGACCUCCAUGAUCAAGUCGACCACCGCUGGGACCUCAAUCUCAGUCGGAUCUGUGGCACUCUUGGGCUGUGGAGUUUCUUCGGUGAAAGGAUCUUCUUUGACUGACGGAGUGCGUAUAUGCUCCAAGAACACACCACUCGGAAUGGCUUCUCUCUUGGAACCUAUCUUUGCUAGAUCAUCAGCUGCUUGAUUUUUCAGUCAGGGUAUAUGAUGGAGCUCCAACCCCUCGAACUUCUUUUCCAGCUUCCUCACUGCACUGCAGUAUCCAGUCAUGGCUGGACUUCUCACGUCCCACUCUUUCAUAACCUGGUUGAGCACUAAAUCCGAGUCGCCAUAGACCAUCAGGCGACGGACGCCGAGUGAAAUGGCCAUGCGCAACCCGUAUAAGAGGGCCUCAUAUUCUGCCUCAUUGUUGGAGGAAUCAAAGUGAAUCUGGAGCACAUAUCUGAGCUUAUCUCCUCUGGGGGAAACCAGGACAACCCCAGCACCGGAACCAUUCAACAUCUUAGAGCCAUCAAAGAACAUGGUCCAAUGCUCCGAGUGAACUUCAGUCGGCUGCUGUUGUUCAAUCCACUCGGCGAGGAAAUCUGCUAUUGCCUGGGACUUAAUGGCUUUCUUUGCCUCAAACUUGAUAUCAAGGGGAAGAAGUUCAAUCGCCCAUUUGGCCACUCGACCAGUUGCAUCUCUGUUGUGCAAAAUCUCUGAUAGUGGAGCGUCGCUGACGACUGUGAUGGAAUGAUCAGAAAAAUAAUGAGCAACCUUUUUUGUGGUCAUGUAUAUUCCAUACACAAGCUUCUGAUAAUGAGGAUAUCUCUGCUUGGAUGGAGUCAAGACUUCAGACAAAUAAUACACUGGGCGCUGAACUUUGAGAGCUUUUCCUUCUUCUUCCCGCUCGACCGUAAGCACAGUACUGACGACUUGUCCUGUGGCUGCAAUAUAGAGCAACAGAGGCUCUUUGCUGAUUGGAGCAGCAAGCACCGGCUGGGUGGAGAGCAGAGUUUUGAGCUCGGCAAACGCUGCAUCAGCUUCUGGAGUCCACUCGAACUUGUCUGUCUUCUUCAUCAGUCGGUAAAGAGGCAAUGCCUUUUCACCGAGUCGUGAGAUGAAUCGACUUAAUGCGGCCAAGCAUCCAGUAAGCUUCUGGACAUCGUGCACUCGCACAGGGCGUUUCAUUCGGAGAAUAGUGCCAAUCUUCUCUGGGUUAGCGUCGAUUCCCCGUUCGGAAACGAGAAAACCGAGUAACUUGCCACCAGGAACUCCAAAUGUGCACUUUGAUGGAUUGAGCUUGAUAUCAUAUCUUCUGAGGUUGGCAAAUGUUUCGGCGAGAUCAGCGAGCAGGUCGGAACCUUUUCGUGACUUGACAACGAUAUCAUCCAUAUAUGCUUCCACAUUCCGACUGAUUUGAGUGAGUAGACACUUCUGAAUCAUUCACAUAAAUGUGGCUCCGGCAUUCUUGAGGCCGAAUGGCAUGGUGAUAUAGCAGAAGCACCCGAAUGGAGUGAUGAAAGCUGUUUUUACCUCGUCGGGUCCGUACAGACGGAUCUGGUGGUACCCGGAGUAGGCAUCUAGAAAAGACAGCCUCUCGCAUCCCGCGGUCGAGUCAACAAUUUGAUCUAUGCGAGGGAGAGGAAAAUGAUCUUUCGGGCAGGCCCGGUUGAUGUGCUUGAAAUCAAUGCACAUUCGGAGCGACUUGUCCUUCUUAGGAACCAUGACGACAUUAGCGAGCCACUCGGAGUGGUAUAUCUCUCGGAUAAAUCCUGCCGCCAACAGUCGAGCCACUUCCUCACCAAUGGCUUUUCUCUUCUGGACGGCGGACCGCCGAAGAUGCUCUUUGACUGGUUUUGUAGACGAGUCGACUCUUAGGCGAUGCUCAGCCAGUCCCCUGGGAACACCUGGCAUGUCAGCGGGCUUCCAUGCAAAAAUGUCCCAGUUCUCACGGAGGAACUGGAUGAGCACUUCUUCCUAUUUUGGGUCGAGUGUUGUGGAGAUGCGGGUCGGAGCUGCAUCGGGGUCGGUCGGGUGAAUGUGAACAGGCUUCGUCUCACCGGACGACUGGAAUGCAGACUCUGUGGCGGGUUUCUUUGAUCGCAGCAAGUCACUCGGAUCUGCGUUUUGCUUGUAUUCUUCGAACUCGACCGCUGUCACCUGGGAAUCGGCAAUCUUUGAGCCCUUCUGAAAGCACUCUUCUGCCUUUUUCCGAUCACCAGUGACAGUGAUCACUCCUUUGGGGCCGGGCAUCUUCAAUUUGAGGUACACGUAACAUGGUCGAGCCAUGAACCGUGCGUAAGCUGGUCUCCCCAAAAUGGCAUGAUAUGCACUCUGAAAAUCCACGACCUCAAACGUCAACUUUUCUUUGCGAAAAUGUUUCGAAUCACCAAACACCACGUCCAAAGCUAUUUGGCCGAGUGACUCGGCUUUCUUCCCUGGUAUAACUCCAUGAAAGCUCAUGUUACUAGUGCUCAGUUGGGACAUCGGAAUGCCCAUUCCUUUCAGUGUGUCUGCAUACAACAAAUUCAGCCCGCUUCCACCGUCCAUCAGCACUUUUGUCAGUCGAGUGCCUUCGACAACUGGAUCGACCACCAAAGCUUGCCUCCCAGGGGUGGCAAUAUGAGUCGGGUGAUCAGAUUGGUCGAAUGUGAUGGGUAUUUGAGACCAUUUCAGAUAAUUUGCUUUUGCUGGGGCAACCAUGUUCACCUCUCGGUUAAUGACUUUCAGUCGACUCCUGCUUUCCACAUCUGCAAAGAUCAUCAGAGUGGAGUUGAUAUGCAGAUAUCCUUCCUCACUGUCCUCCUUGUCUUCGGCCUUGUCCGACUCCUUCUCCUUGUCCCUAGACUGUUUUCCCUGAAACUGCUGGAUCAGGAGUCGACAUUGGCGGGUGGUGUGCUUCGGGUAGAUGAUAUUUCCCUCGUCGUCUUUCUUCGUGUGGAUGUGACAUGGCAUAUCCAUUACGUCGUUCCCUUCUUUAUCCUUUACCUUCUUGGGGUUCCAGGAUCCUUUUGGUUUCCCCUUAAACUUUCCUUGAGUCACGGCCAGAGCCUCUCCAGGAGCUGCCGGUUCAGCCUUCCGCUUCUGUUUCCGACUGGUGUUUCCUUUUUCCGACUGACUCGGCUUGUGCUUGCCGCUUCGGAGUCGGUCUUCUUCUUCGCCGUUGGCGUACUUGGUAGCAAUCUCCAUCAUCCGACUCAAGGUCAUGUCACCGGUUCGACCAAACUUCAAACUCAGUUCUCUGUUCUUGACGCCAUCUUUGAAGGCGCAUACUGCCUGAUGAUCAGACACAUUCUCCACAGUGUGGUGCAAAGUGAUCCAUCUCUGAAUAUACUCUCUCAGAGUCUCAUUGGUCUUCUGCACGCAGACUUGCAACUCUGUUAGUCCAGCUGGUCGCUUGCAAGUUCCUUCAAACGUUCUGAUGAACACUCGGGACAAAUCUUCCCAAGUGUAAAUGCUGCUAGGCGGUAAUUGAGUUAACCAUGCCCUGGCAGAGCCUUCCAGCAUGAGGGGUAAAUGCUUCAUGGCCACCUCGUCGUUCCCACCACCAAUCUGAACUGCCACUCGGUAGUCCUCAAGCCAAGUUUCAGGCUUAGACUCACCAGUGAACUUGCUGACUCCUGUUGCCAACCUGAAAUUGGGAGGGAUAACUGCGGCUCUGAUAGCUCUGCUGAAACAUUCAGGACCAGAAACAUGCACUCGACUACUUGUGGGUGCAUCUCUGUCGAGUCCGCCUCGAUGGGCUCUGUUCCGGUCGACCAAACCUUGCACGAUAAUGGAUCGCGCGUCGAAGCCUGGUUCUCUGGGGUCGACUGGAACCCUUCGCCCUGUACUGUACUGACGCCUGUCAUCUUGCUGCCGAGGAGCGUAAGACCCACCCCUCGGAGGGGAAUGGGGCACUCGACGCCUAUCAUCUCGGUCGAGUCGGUCACCAUAUUGGCCUCGCCGAUUCUCGUGCCCCUCACGCCGCGGAGGCGAUCUGGGACUGUGAGCCGACUGAACCGUAUUCGUAGUGACGGAUCGACUGUGAAUUCUGUUGCGCGACUGAGACACGGCUGAAUUCUGAUCUCCUGCUGCCCGGAGCAGAUCCCUGAUCUGCCGCAAACCUCUGCCAGCUUCCGACUGCGAAGGCUGGAUGGACUCUGCUAUACGGGUCGCAGCUGCUAAAUUCUGGAUUGGGGUUCGAUAUACCUGAGUCGGCGGGAAGAGUUGACGUCGACUGGUGUCGGGAACUCGUUGCCGCGCGCGCUCGUCGAGUGCUCGCUGAAGAUUCUCCAGUCGAGUGCGUUCGGCCAAAUUGGCCAGACGUGCCUCCUCCAAGGCACGAGCCUCGGGGGUUUCUCCUGCGAUGGGAGUACGCAGAGCAUCCACGUUCCUUCGGCGAAGUUCCUCUCUUUGAAGAGAGUCGAGUGGCUCGGGCUGGUACUCUUCGUGGCCUCGUGCGGGGUCGCCUCCGUCGCCUGCUCCACCAUCACGGGCGAAGCCAGGGGGACUGCGGGGCCCGUCGACCAUCAAGAUUUCCGCCGCUGGAUCACUGCUACCGCACUCGGAUGCCGUCUCUACGGAGCCAGUCGACAGAUCGAACAAGCCGUAGAGAGAUUCGUCGGGCUCGAUUGCCGCAACUUGGGUGGUGGCCGAUUGGCGAGCCACCGCGUGCCUCACCCAUCGCUGAAGCCUCGACCGGCCCGAGCGCUUGCGCUGGCGGGAGACCGGGAGGGUGGACGAUGGAGGAGCUGACCGAUACGGGGUCGACGGUUGCCGCAGCAGAACGCCGCGGACACAUGUGCGAAAAUGCGUCGCACCGCGGACGGGGAGCGCAUCAACGUCGAGUGGAGCCUCCUGGAGCCACGCGGAGUCGUCGGCGAUGAAGGUGAGAGUGCCGAGACAGAUCUCUCGACCCUCGACCAAAACUCCAGCAGUCACCAUGAUGAAAGUACUCAGAAGAAUCGCAACUUCUCCACAAAAUCGCUAAAACACCUGCCCCAAGGUGGGCGCCAACUGUCGUGGUUCUAAGCCUGACAGUAGAGUGGGGGGUAGGUAUGGAGAGGCAAGGUCCUAGCAAUGGAGAGGUUGUAAACACAAGAGAUGUACGAGUUCAGGCCCUUCUCGGAAGAAGUAAUAGCCCUACGUCUCGGAGCCCGGAGGCGGUCGAGUGGAUUAUGAGUAUAUGAGUUACAAGGUGUCGAACCCCUCUACCUGUGGAGGGGGCGGCUUAUAUAGAGUGCGCCGGGACCCCAGUCAGCCCACGUAGGAGAGGGUUUAAGGUGAGUUAAGUCCGAGGCGUUACUGAUAACGCCCCACAUAAAGUGUCUUUACUACCAUAAAGUCUACUUAAUUACAGGCCGUUGCAGUGUAGAGUGCCUCUUGACCUUCUGGUGGUCGAGUGAGUCUUCGUGGUCGAGUCCUUCAAGUCAGUCGAGUGAGUCCCUCGUUGGUCGACUGGAAGGCAACCUCUGCUAAGGGUGUCCUUGGGUAAGGUACUUAGAUCAGGUCUAUGACCCUACCCUAGGUACAUGACCCCAACAAUCCAGUCAAGUCAUACUCAAUGUAAACUAACAGUAAUGGAUGCAAAUGACAGCAGUGCUCUCCGACUGGUGCUUUUUAAUAAGAGGAUGAUGACUCAGCAUAAAAGUAAAUAGAUAGGCCCUUCGUAGAGAGAAGUGGGGAUUUGUAGAGGUGCCAGAGCUCAGUUUUGAAAUAGAUAUGAAUAAUAUUUUGAGCGGUAUACUUUCAUUGUCAACAUAACAACCAAGAGAUGGUGAUAUCUUCCAUGCUACACACAUUAUAGGCGGUUCCCAAACAGAAUGGUAAAGUUUAUACUCCCCCUCCACCGACAAGCAUCAAUCCAUGGCUUGCUCGAAACAACGAGUGCCUCCAACUAACAACAGUCCCGGGGGAGUUUUGUUUGCAGUUAUAUUGAUUUGAUUUGCAUAAAGCAUGGGACUGGGCAUCCCGGUGAUCAGCCAUUUUCUCGUGAGUGAGGAUCAGAGUCCACUCCUCUUGAGAAUAACCCGCCUAACAUGGAAGAUACGGACAACCCUAGUUGAUACAUGAGCUAUUCGAGCAUACAAAACAGAAUGUUUAUUUGAAGGUUUAGAGUUUGGCACAUACAAAUUUACUUGGAAUGGAAGGUAGAUACCGUAUAUAGGUAGGUAUGGUGGACUCAUAUGGAAUAACUUUGGGGUUUAUGGAAUUGGAUGCACAAGCAGUAUUCCCGCUUAGUACAGGUGAAGGCUAGCAAAAGACUGGGAAGCGACUAGCUAGAGAGCGACAACAGUCAUGAGCAUGCAUUAAAAUUAAUCAACACCGAAUGCAAGCAUGAGUAGGAUAUAGUGCACCAUGAACAUAAAUAUCAUAGAGGCUAUGUUGAUUUUGUUUCAACUACAUGCGUGAACAUGUGCCAAGUCAAGCCACUCGAAUCAUUCAAAAGAGGAUAACACCCUAUCAUACCACAUCACAACCAUUUUAAUAGCAUGUUGGCAUGCAAGGUAAACCAUUAUAAGUUCCUAGCUAAUUAAGCAUGACAUAAGCAACUAUAAUCUCUAAUCGUCAUUGCAAACAUGUUUAUUCAUAAUAGGCUGAAUCAGGAACGAUGAACUAAUCAUAUUUACAAAAACAAGAGAGGUCGAGUUCAUACCAGCUUUUCUCAUCUCAAUAAGCUCAUCAUAUAAUCAUCAUUAUUGCCUUUCACUUGCACGACCGAAUAGUGUGGAUAAUAAUAAUAGUGCGCGUGCAUUGGACUAAGCUGGAAUCUGCAAGCAUUCAAUUCAAGAGAGAAGACAAGGUAAUAUGGGUUGUUUGUCUAAUCAAUCAAUAAUGCGUAUAAGAGCCACUCAACAUUUUAAUUAUGGUCUUCUCCUCUCGACCCCCAAAGAACAAGAAACAAAAUAAAACUAUUUACAUGGGAAAGCUCCCAACAAGCAAAAGAAGAACAAGAAAUAUUUUUGGGUUUUCUUUUUAAUUACUACUGCAACAGGCAUGGAAAGUAAACUAAUUAAAAGCUACAACUAAUUUUUUUUGUUUUUAUCAAGGUUUAUUAAACACACAAGAAGAAAGCAUAAAAAGGAAAAUAAACUAGCAUGGAUGAUACAAUGAAAAAGUAUGAGAACCGACAACUAGCAAUGAGUGUGUGAACAUGAAUGUAAUGUCGGUGAGAAAUACGUACUCCCCCAAGCUUAGGCUUUUGGCCUAAGUUGGUCUAUGGCCUUGGCUGGCCUGGCGGAUAUCCAUAGUAAUAGUUGGGGUCAUACCGUGAAGAAGCCUCGGAUUUCCACUGGUUGGCAAUCACCUCCGGAUCCCACUGGUAAUCAGACUGUCGUGGAGGAUCAAAUUGUGGUUCAGGCUCUAGCUCUGUAGCUAAUGUAGGGUUCUGGUAGGCGUGAAUGGCCUCCAACGGAACAAGGUACUUGCCUGCAGAUAAAUCAAACAAGGAAGGAGCAGGCAAGGUAAUAGUCUCAGGAUGAUUUUUUUACCAAAUAUUAAUUUGUACUUAAGCUCCUUUUCCCUAUUCUUAACAAUAAAAUCAUGUGCUACCAUACUCUUAUAAUCUACAUAAACAGGGGGCAUCAAUUUUUCUUCUUUCUCAUAAUGCCUGAUAGGUAUGUUAAAAUGUGCAGCGAGGCACGAGGCGAAGAUGCCUCCAAGCACGGGGUCGUUAGUACGGUUAAGAUUUAACCGCUUUGCAACAAUAGCACCCAUACUAAAUGUGUCAUCAAGGAACAAGGCAUGGCACAAAUUAACAAUAUCAGGGGCACUCAGGUUUCCAAAGUUUCCGCGCCCAAUUAAGCAUCUACUAGCAAAUAUAGCAAAGUAACAUAGAACAAGAAAGUGUAUGCUAGUAAUUCAUGCGUCGGAAACCUUCCUCGUUUCCCCCACAGCAAUGGUAUCAAUAAACCCAUCCACAUCGUCACGAUGUGGUUCCUCCACACUGCCCUCAAAAGGGAUCAAACAAACCCAACAAAAAUCAUAAAGUGACAUCUCCUUAUGCUCAUCAUAUAAAUAAAAUUCCACCGUAGGUGGUGAGCUCCUAGCAUGGAAAUGAAAGUUUCCACAAAGAUAUUGGUGAGUAAGAGAUACUGCUCGCGUCGGUCGUGGAGGAAGGUGGUGAGGCCUGCAUUCUCAGCCAACUCAUAGAAAUCAUCAUAAAUCUCGGCUGCUCUCAAGAAAUUAUCACAAGGCCAUUCACAUGGCCAGACCUCCGCAGUGCGAGGGAGAUUAUACUUGGGCCUCUUAUCCUCCUCACUUUGCUUAUCCUUCGAGCUUCGGCUCGAUGAGGCCCUCAAAAAUAUCUUCAUCUUUUUCUGAAAAUAUCUGAAAUUUUUAGUAACUUCAAAAUAAAAGUGGACCAAACUCAAUAAAAUUGAUAGCAACUACUCCCACAAGUGCCUAAAGGAUAUAUCAUGCAUCAAAACUACUUUUGACCAUAUAAAUUUGACAUGCAAGCUCAAGAACGGGGUCACCUAAGCAGCAAAAAUAUGCAAUGAAUAAAGCACUAUAACAAAAACUAAUUGGACCAUUGGAGGAGUCACAUACCAAGGAACAAUCCCCCAAAGCAGUUUUGUGAGAGGUGCUUUGAGCAAGGAGAUCGAAAAUGGCAGCAAGAUGAGCUUGGACUCGGGUUUGAGCUGGCUAGUGGUGUUUGUGGGAGGAAGGAGUGUGUGGUAGCUGGGAUAAGUGGAGGGGAGCCACCGUGGGCCCAGGAGGCAAGGGGGCGCGCCCAAGGGGUAGAGCGCGCCCACCACCCUCGUGGCUAGGUGCUUGCUCCCCCUGCUGUGUUUUCAGUGCCAAAUAUUCUCAAAUAUUCUAGAAAAAAAUCAUAUUUAAUUUUCAGGGCAUUUGGAGAACUUUUAUUUUCGGGGUAUUUUUUAUUGCAUGGAUAAUUCAAAAAACAGACAGAAAAAAUACUGUUUUUGCUUUAUUUAAUAUAAAUAACAGAAAGUAAAAAGUGGGUAUAGAGAGUUGUGUUUUCUAAAUUCAUCCAUCUCAUGCUCAUCAAAAGGAGUCCACUAAGAAGGUUGAUCAGGUCUUGUUAACAAACUCAUUCCGAAUAACAUGGAACUGGAGAAUUUACGAAUAACACUAGGUUACCUCAACGGGGAUAUGCAUGUCCCCAACAAUAAAAAUAUCAUAUUUCUUCUUGACAGUAGGUAGAGGAAAUUCAAAACCUCCAAAAGUAAUGGUUGAAAAUUUUCCAAUAGAAUUGAUACUGUGGACUUGAGGUUGUUUCCUUGGAAAGUGUACCGUAUGCUCAUUACCAUUAACAUGAAAAGUGACAUUGCCUUUGGUGUAAUCAACAACAGCCCCUGCAGUAUUCAAAAAGGGUCUUCCAAGAAUAAUAGACAUACUAUUGUCCUCGGGAAUAUCAAUAAUAACAAAGUCUGUUAAAAUUGUAACAUUUGCAACCACAACAGGCACAUCGUCACAAAUACCGACAGGUAUAGGAGUUGAUUUAUCAGCCAUUUGCAAAGAUAUUUCAGUAGGUGUCAACUUAUUCAAAUCCAGUCUACGAUAUAAAGAGAGUUGCAUAACACCAACACCGGCUCCAAGAUCACAUAAAGCAGUUUUAACAUAGUUUCUUUUAAUGGAGCAUGGUAUAGUGGGUACUCCUGGAUCUCCUAACUUGUUAGGUAUUCCACCCUUAAAAGUAUAAUUAGCAAGCAUGAUGGAAAUUUCAGCUUCUGGUAUCUUUCUUUUAUUUGUCACAAUUUCUUUCAUAUACUUAGAAUAAGGAUUCAUUUUAAGCAUAUCAGUCAAACGCAUACGCAAAAAGAUAGGUCUAAUCAUUUCAGCAAAGCGCACAAAAUCCUCAUCAUCCUUUUUCUUGGAUGGUUUAGGAGGAAAAGGCAUGGGUUUCUGAACCCAUGGUUCUCUUUCCUUACCGUGCUUCCUAGCAACAAAGUCUCUCUUAUCAUAAGGUGUAUUCUUUGAUUGUGGGUUAUCAAGAUCAACAACAGGUUCAAUCUCUACUUCAUUGUCAUUACUAGGUUGAGCAUCAACAUGAACAUCAUUAUUAACAUUAUCACUAGGUUCAUGCUCAUUACCAGAUUGUGUUUCAGCAUCAGAAAUAGAAAUAUCAUUGGGAUUCUUAGGUGUGUCAACAAUAGGUUCACUAGAAGCAUGCAAAGUCCUAUCAUUUUUUCUUUUUCUUCCUUUUAGAAGGACUAGGUGCAUCUACAUUAUUUCUCUGAGAAUCCUACUCAAUUCUCUUAGGAUGGCCGUCAGGAUACAAAGGUUCCUGAGUCAUUUUACCACCUCUAGUCAUAACUCUAACAGCAUUAUCAUUCUUAUUAUUUAAUUCAUUGAGCAAAUCAUUCUGAGCUUUAAGUACUUGUUCUACUUGAGUGGUAACCAUAGAAGCAUGUUUAUAAAUAAGUUUUAGUUCACCUUUAACAAUAGCCAUAUAACCACUCAAGUGUUCAAUCAUAUAAGCAUUGUUUUUCAAUUGUCUACCAACAUAAGCAUUAAAAUCUUCUUGCUUAACCAUAAAGUUAUCAAACUCAUCUAAGCAUUGGCUAGCAAACUUAGUAGGAGGGAUUUCAUCUUUAUCAUAUCUAUAGAGAGAAUUUACCUUUACUACCUGUGUCGGGUUAUCAAGACCAUGUAUUUCUUUAACAUGCGGUAAAUUGAGACCAUAUAUUUCUUCAAUAGGAGGUAAAUUCUUAACAUCUUUAGCUUUAAUGCCUUUUUCUUUCAUAUAUUUCUUUGCCUGUUGCAUAUCUUCAGGACUGAGAAAUAGAAUACCCCUUUUCUUCAGAGUUGGCUUAGGAGUUGGUUCAGGAAUUGGAUCAGGAAGUGUCCAAUUAUUUUCAUUAGUCAACAUAUUAUUCAAUAGAAUUUCAGCUUCCUCUGGUGUUCUUUCCCUGAAAACACAACCGGCACAACUAUCCAGGUGGUCUCUGGAAGCAUCAGUUAGUCCAUUAUAAAAGAUAUCAAGUAUUUCAUUUUUCUUAAGAGGAUGAUUAGGCAAAGCAUUAAGUAAUUGGAGAAACCUCCCCCAAGCUUGUGGAGACUCUCUUCUUCAAUUUGCACAAAAUUAUAUAUUUCCCUUAAAGCAGCUUGUUUCUUAUGAGCGGGGAAAUAUUUAGCAGAGAAGUAAUAAAUCAUAUCCUGGGGACUACGCACACAACCAGGAUCAAGAGAAUUAAACCAUGUCUUAGCAUCACCCUUUAAUAAGAACGGAAAUAAUUUAAGGAUAUAAUAAUAGCGAGUUUUCUCAUCAUUAGUGAAUAGGGUGGCUAUAUCAUUUAAUUUAGUAAGAUGUGCCACAACAGUUUCAGAUUCAUAGCCAUAGAAAGGAUCAGAUUCAAACACAGUAAUUAUAUCAGGGUUGACAGAGAAUUCAUAAUCCUUAUCAGUAACAAAGAUAGGUGAAGUAGCAUAAGCAGGAUCAUAUUUCAUUCUAGCAUUCAAUUUUUUGUUUCAGCUUAGCUAAAAUUUUCUUAAGAUCACUCCUAUCAUUGCAAGCAAGAAAGUCUCUAGCAGUUUCUUCAUCCAUAACAUAACCCUCAGGAACAACAGGCAAUUCAUAUCUAGGGGAGAAUCUUCAUCAUCACUUUCAUCAAUAUUAUCAGUUUCAAUAAUUUCAUUCUCUCUAGCCCUAGCAAGUUGUUCAUCAAGAAAUUCACCAAGUGGCACAGUACUAUCAAUCAUAGAAGUAGUUUCAUCAUAAGUAUCAUGCAUAGCAGAAGUGGCCUCAUCAAUAACAUGCGACAUAUCAGAAUUAAUAGCAGAAGCAGGUUUAGGUGUCGCAAGCUUACUCAAAACAGAAGGUGAAUCAAGUGCAGAGCUAGAUGGCAGUUCCUUACCUCCCCUCGUAGUUGAGGGGUAAAUCUUGGUUCUUGGAUCUUUCAAGUUCUUCAUAAUGAUAAGCAGAUAUAAAUCCGAAGUGACUCAAAGAAUAGAGCUAUGCUCCCCGGCAACAGCGCCAGAAAAUAGUCUUGAUAACCCACAAGUAUAGGGGAUCGCAAAAGUUUUCGAGGGUAGAGUAUUCAACCCAAAUUUAUUGAUUCGACACAAGGGGAGCCAAAGAAUAUUCUCAAGUAUUAGCAGCUAAGUUGUCAAUUCAACCACACCUGGAAACUUAAUAUCUGCAGCAAAGUAUUUAGUAGCAAAGUAAUAUGAUAGUAGUGGUAACGGUGGUAAAAUGUAACGAUAGCAAAAGUAAUAUUUUUUGGUGUUUUGUAGUGAUGAUAACAAUAGCAACGGAAAAGUAAAUAAGUGAAGAACAAUAUAUGGAAAGCUCGUAGGAAAUGGAUAGGUGAUGGAGAAUUAUGCCAGAUGCGGUUCAUCAUGUAACAGUCAUAACCUAGGGUGACACAGAACUAGCUCCAGUUCAUCAAUGUAAUGUAGGCAUGUAUUCCGAAUAUAGUCAUACUUUCUUAUGGAAAAGAACUUGCAUGACAUAUUUUGUCCUACCCUCCCGUGGCAGCGGGGUCCUAUUGGAAACUAAGGGAUAUUAAGGCCUCCUUUUAAUAGAGUACCACACCAAAGCAUUAACACAUAGUGAAUACAUGAACUCCUCAAACUACGGUCAUCACCGCUAAGUAUCCUGAUUAUUGUCACUUCGGGGUUAACGGAUCAUAACACAUAAUAGGUGACUAUAGACUUGCAAGAUAGGAUCAAGAACUCUCAUAUAUUGAUGAAAACAUAAUAGGUUCAGAUCUAAAAUCAUGGCACUCGGGCCCUAGUGAAAAGCAUUAACAUAGCAAAAUCAUAGCAACAUCAAUCUCAGAACAUAGUGGAUACCAGGGAUCAAACCAUAACAAAACUAACUCGAUUACAUGAUAAAUCUCAUCCAACCCAUCACCGUCCAGCAAGCCUACGAUGGAAUUACUAACACAUGGCGGUGAGCAUCAUGAAAUUGGUGAUGGAGGAUAGUUGAUGAUGACGAUGGUGACGGAUUCCCCUCUCCAGAGCCCCGAACGGACUCCAGAUCAGCCCUCCCGAGAGACUUUAGGGCUUGGCGGCGGUUACGUAUCAUAAAACGUGAUGAAUCCUUCUCCCUGGUUUUUUAUCUCCGAAAGUGAAUAUAUGGAGUCAAGGUUGAGGUCGGUGGAGCGUCAGGGGGCCCACAAGGCAGGGGCGCGCCCAGGGGGUAGGGCGUGCCCCCACCCUUGUGGAUAGGUGGAGGUCCCCCUGACGUGGAUCUUCCUUCCAGUAUUUAUUAUAUAUUCCAAAAUAAUUCUCCGUUGAUUUUUAGGUCAUUCCGAGAACUCUUAUUUCUGCACAAAAAUAACACCAUGGCAAUUCUGCUGAAAACAGUGUCAGUCCGGGUUAGUUCCAUUCAAAUCAUGCAAGUUAGAGUCCAAAACAAGGGCAAAAGUGUUUGGAAAAGUAGAUACGACGGAGACAUAUCACUAACCAACAUUUAAUAUUGUUGAGUACAUAAAUGGGAGAGAACUAAAUAAGUCAUGUGGUGUUCCGUCAAUAUGGAACUCGUUGCAUAUUGAGCUCCACUUAAUUUGUACUAUUGUUUGUGCACUUUGCCAUGCCAUGCCUCUUUAAACCGGACAUGCAUCAUACUUGGUUGUGCAUCAUGCCAUGUUUAUGUGAUGGGUGUUUACUAGGUUUUUUGCUUCUUUCCGGGUUGCUUCUCUUGUUAGCUUCGGUUUCGUUCCGGAGUUGUGAGGAUUUGUUCGUCUACGUCCAUUUGUCUUCUUCAUGGACUCGUUCUUCUUCCUUGCGGGAUCUCAGGCAAGAUGACCAUACCAUCGAAAUCACUUCUAUCUUUGCUUGCUAGUUGUUCGCUCUAUUCCUAUGUCGCGCUACCUACCACUUGCUAUAAAAUGCCUCCCAUAUUGCCAUGUCAAGCCUCUAACCCACCUUCGUAGCAAACCGUUGUUUGGCUAUGUUACCGCUUUUGCUCAGCCCCUCUUAUAGCGCUGUUAGUUGCAGGUGAAGAUAAAGUUUAUUCCAUGUUGGAACAUGGAUUUUGUUGGGAUAUCAUCAUUAUCUCUUAUUUACUUUAAUGCAUCUAUAUACUUGGUAAAGGGUGGAAGGCUCGGCCUUAUGCCUGGUGUUUUGUUCCACUCUUGCCGCCCUAGUUUCCGUCAUACCGGUGUUAAUUUUGCGUUCCUUACGCGGUUGGGUGUUAUGGGAACCCCUUGACAGUUCGCUUUGAAUAAAACUCCUCCAGCAAGGCCCAACCUUGGUUUUACAUUUGCCUAACAACCUAUAACUUUUCCCUUGGGAGUCGCGCCAGUGCUUCUCUAAGUGUUGGUCCGAACCAGAUCCACUUGCAGCGCCACCUUGGGGAAACUUGAGGGUUGGUUUUAGCUGUAUGUAGUGUUCAUUCGGUGUUGCCCUGAGAACGAGAUAUGUGCAGCUCCUAUCGGGAUGUCGGCGCAUCACGCGGUCUUGCUGGUCUUGUUUUACCAUUGUCGAAAUGUCUUGUAACCGGGAUUCCGAGACUGAUCGGGUCUUCCCGGGAGAAGGAAUAUCCUUGACCGUGAGAGCUUGUGAUGGGCUAAGUUGGGACACCCCUGCGGGGUAUAAACUUUUGAGAGCGGUGCCCGUGGUUAUGUGGCAGAUGGGAAUUUUUUAUUAUCCGGUUGUAGAGAACUUGACACUUGAUUUAAUUAAAAUGCAUCAACCGCAUGUGUAGCCGUGAUGGUCUCUUUUCGGCGGAGUCCGGGAAGUGAACACGGUUCUUGUGUUAUGAUUGUGCGUAAGUAGUUUCAGGAUCACUUCUUGAUCACUUCUAGUUCACGACCGUUGCAUUGCUUCUCUUCUCGCUCUUAUUUGCGUAUGUUAGCCACCAUAUUUUGCUUAGUGCUUGCUGCAGCUCCACCUCACUACCUCAUCCUACCCAUAAGCUUAAAUAGUCUUGAUCUCGCGGGUGUGAGAUUGCUGAGUCCUCGUGACUCACGGAUACUUCCAAACAGUUGCAGGUGCCGAUGAUCCCACUGCAGGUGGCGCAACCAAGCUCAAGAGGGAGCUCGAUGAAGAUCUUGAUCGUUGUCUUAUUUCGUUUCCUAUUGAUCAGUAGUGGAGCCCAGUUGGGACGAUCGGGGAUCUAGGUAUUUGGGGUUGUCUUCCUUUAGUUUGGUUCCAUAGUCGGACCUUGAUUGUGCUUUGGAUGAUGUAUGAUUUUUUUAUGUAUUGUGUGAAGUGGCAAUUGUAAGCCAACUCUUUAUCCCUCUCUUAUUCAGUACAUGGGAUGUGUGAAGAUUACCCCUCUUGCGACAAGCCUACCAUGCGGCUAUGCCUCUAAGUCGUGCCCCGACACGUGGGAGAUAUAACCGCAUUGUGGGUGUAACAAUAUUAAACUAAGCAAUGCAUCAGUGUCAAAAAUAACUUUUGCAGGAAAGUCAUUGACAGGAAGAUUACCCAUGAUCACCUCUGAAGAGUCCUCUGCCUGAGCUGCGUUCAUCAUGUUGACCUUUGCAAACUUGGAAUUAUGCUUGACCACUGCAUUGCUGGAAGAUCUCACAGGAGGAGGAGGCGGAAGGCGCCUUUGGUUGAAGCAUUUGUUUGCAUAGUGCCCUUUUUGUUGACACUUGUUGCAAGUAACCCCUGAGAGCGGCCGAUGGUAAGGAGUGAUACGUCUCCGUCGUAUCUAUAAUUUUUGAUUGUUCCAUGCCAAUAUUAUUCAACUUUCAUAUACUUUUUGGCAACCUUUUAUAUUAUUUUUGGGACUAACAUAUUGAUCCAGUGCCCAGUGCCAGUUCCUGUCUGUUGCAUGUUUUUGGUUUCGCAGAAUAUCCAUAUCAAACGGAGUCCAAACGGGAUAAAAACGGACGGAGCUUACUUUUGGAAAAUAUGGAAAAUUCGGAAGGAAAAUCAACGCGAACCAGUGCCUGAGGUGGUCACGAGGCAGGGGGACGCCCCCCCUUAGGGCGUGCCUCCUACCCUCAUGAGCCCACCGUAAGGCGGUUGGCGCUCUUCUUUUGCCGCAACAAAGCUAAUAUUCGGAAAAAAAUCACGGCGAAGGUUUCAGGCCAAUCGGAGUUACGGAUCUCCAUAUAUAUACGGAACGGUGAAACAGAGCCAGGAGAGAACGCAGAAACAGAGAGAGACAGAGAGACAGAUCCAAUCUUGGAGGGGCUCUCGCCCCUCCCGUGCCAUGGAGGUCAUGGACCAGAGGGGAAACCCUUCUCCCAUCUAGGGAAGAGGUCAAGGAAUCAUAAGAAGGAGGGGGGCUCUCUCCCCCUCGCUUCCGGUGGCACCGGAGUGCCACCGGGGGCCAUCAUCAUCACCGCGAUCUACACCAACACCUCCUCCAUCUUCACCAACAUCUCCAUCACCUUCCCCCCUCUAUCUACAGCGGUCCACUCUCCCACAACCCGCUGUACCCUUUACUUGAACAUGGUGCUUUAUGCUUCAUAUUAUUAUCCAAUGAUGUGUUGCCAUCCUAUGAUAUCUGAGUAGAUUUUCAUUGUCCUAUCGGUGGUUGAUGAAUUGCUAUGAUUGAUUUAAUUUGCUUGUGGUUAUGUUGCUGUCCUUUGGUGUUCAUCAUAUGAUUGCGCACGUGGAUCACACCCUAGGGUUAGUUGUAUGUUGAUAGGACUAUGUAUUGGAGGGCAAGAGUGACAGAAGCUUCAACCUAGCAUAGAAAUUGAUGCAUACGGGAUUGAAGGGGGACCAAUAUAUCUUAAUGCUAUGGUUGGGUUUUACCUUAAUGAAUAUUAGUAGUUGCGGAUGCUUGCUAAUAGUUCCAAUCAUAACUGCAUAGAAUUCCAUGUCAGGGAUGACAUGCUAGCAGUGGCCUCUCCCACAUAAUACUUGCUAUCGGUCUAGUAAAGUAGUCAAUUGCUUAGGGGCAAUUUCGCAACUCCUACCACCACUUUUCCACACUCGCUAUAUUUACUUUAUUGUUUCUUUAUCUAAACAGCCCCUACUUUUUAUAUAUGUAAUCUUUAUUAUCUUGCAAACCUAUCCAUCAUCACCUACAAAGUACUUCUAGUUUCAUACUUGUUCUAGGUAAAGCGAACAUCAAGCGUGCGUAGAGUUGUAUCGGUGGUCGAUAGAGGGAAUAUUUGUUCUACCUUUAGCUCCUCGUUGGGUUCGGCACUUUUACUUAUCGAAAACUGUUGCGAUCCCCUAUACUUGUGGGUUAUCAAGACCUUUUUCUGGCGCCGUUGCCGGGGAGCAAUAGCGUGGGUUGAAUAUUCUCGUGUGUGCUUGUUUGCUUUAUCACUAAGUAGUUUUUAUUUGCUGUUCUUAGUUGUUUUAUAUCUUUAUUUAUGGGUAGGAAACACAAAAUACCAAAAAAAUAGUUGCACCUACUAAACCAAUGGUUGAAUAAGCACUCAAAAUCUAUCCCACUGCUGAAGCUUAUUACUUGGAUCAUCUUUGAUCCCUAUGUGCUCGUGCUGAAACCCCAACUAGCUUAGUUGAGGGAAAAUCUUUAGAUGAGCAUGCUUGUUAUGUGCGACACCGUAUAUCUGAAAGAGGGAAAUGUUUAUUGGAUCAAAUCCAUCGGUUGCAAUGCUAUGCUUGGAAUUUAUGUUAUAUAUAUGAUUUUACUUGUUGUUCUAAAAACCCUAAGAAACACCUUCCCUACCAAUGUGAGUUUAUUGAUAAUGGAAUCUUAUCUUCAUACGCUAAGGGUGUUUAUAGUUACUAUGAUGUUCAACAAAUUGAAGAAUUUGUUGCUUUUAAGGGUGCUUAUGAAAUUGCUUCUUUGAUUGAAAAGUAUGAUGCUACUCUUUACCAAUCUGAAAAUUUUGACAUACUUAAAUAUUGUUAUGAUAAUUAUGCUUCUAAUGCCUAUGUUGAACCAUAUAUUGAGUACUACUCCACUUUCCAAGAAGAGACUAAUAUUUUGCAGGAGUCUAUGGAAGAAGAAAUUGAUGAAACUGUGAGCUCAUUGGAUGAAAAAGAUGAGGAGGAGAGCGAAGAACAAAAGGAGGAAGAGCGGAUUAGCUACCCGUGCCCACCUUCUAAUGAGAGUAACUCUUCAACUCAUACAUUGUUUAAUUUCCCUUCGUGCUUACCGGAGGAUGAUUGCUAUGAUGACUAUUAUGAUCCCAUUGAUUCUCUUGAAAUAUCCCUUUUUGAUGAUGCUUGCUAUGCUUGUGGCCAAGAUGCCAAUAUGAAUUAUGCUUAUGGAGAUGAACUUGCUAUAGUUCCUUAUGAUAAAAAAGAAAUUGUUGCUAUUGCACCCACGCAUGAUAGUCCUAUUAUCUUUUUGAAUUCUCCCAACUACACUAUAUUGGAGAAGUUUGCACUUAUUAAGGAUUAUAUUGAUGGGUUGCCUUUUACCGUUGCACAUGAUGAUUUUGAUAUAUAUAAUAUGCAUGUGCUUGCUGCUCCUACUUGCAAUUAUUAUGAGAGAGGAACUAUAUCUCCACCUCUCUAUGUUUCCAAUACGAUAAAAUUGCAAGAAAUUGUUUAUACUAUGCAUUGGCCUUUACUAGGUGUGCAUGAAUUGUUCUUUUAUGACAUGCCGAUGCAUAGAAAGAGAGUUAGACUUCGCCAUUGCUUGAUAUAUGUUGCUUUGUGCUCACUACUAAAUGCCAAAUCAUUGCUAUCUGAAAUUGACUUUGAUAUACCUUGGGAUCCGGGUGGAUUCACUACUUGAGCACUAUAUGCCUAGCUUAACGGCUUUAAAGAAAGCGCUGCCAGGGAGACAACCCGGAAGUUUUAGAGAGUCAUUUAUUUCUGUUGAGUGCUUUCAUAUAGAUUAAAAACAACAAAAAUAAAGAGGGGAACCCAAAACUUUUUCUAAAAGAAAAGUGAAAGUGAGAGAGACGAGCAUUGUGAAAGUGGGGGACGUCCUUGAACUUUCUUCAUGCCCAUGGGAACUUUGUGAAUCUUAAUUACAGAAACUUUUCAAUAAAAAUAAUUAUCCUCUUGUACAAUUCCAUUGUAUUAUAAAAAUAAUGUGCCAAGGUUUGCCUUUAGGAUGUUUACAUUUGCUUGAUGGUUUGUACGGUGCAGGACAGAAACUUUGGCUGUAGUGCGCGAUUUUACUUUUUUAGCUGGAACGUUAAAUGGUUCUGAUUCUUUUUGCACUGUCUUCCUAUACAAAUUUUUUAUUUUUCCUAUUUUUGGUAUAAUUUUUCAAGUAUCAGAAGUAUGGUGAAUGUUAAUAUUAUUACAGACUGUUCUGUUUUAGACAGAUUCUGUUUUCUGAUGCACAGUUUGCUUGUUUUGAUGAAACUAUCAAAUUUAUAUCAGUGGAUUAAGCCAUGAAAAAGUUAUAUUACAGUAGAAAAUAUGCAACAACAAAAUAUGAAUUGGUUUGCAGCAGUACUUAGAGUAGUGAUUUGCUUUAUUAUACUAAUGGAUCUUACUGAGUUCUCUGUUGAAGUUUUGUGUGGAUGAAGUGUUCGAUGAUUGAGAAGGUUUCGAUGUGAGAAGAUGGAAGAGAGGCAAGAGUUCAAGCUUGGGGAUGCCCGAGGCACCCCAAGUAAAUAUUCAAGGAGACUCAAGCAUCUAAGCUUGGGGAUGCUGGGAAGGCAUCCCCUCUUUCUUCAACAAAUAUCGGUAUGUUUUCAGAUUCGUUUCGUUCAUGCAGUAUGUGCAAUCUUGGAGCGUAUUUUGCAUUUAGUUUUCAUUCUUCUUUUUAUGCACCAUGCUGGUAUGAGAUAGUCCUUGGUUGAUUUAUAGAAUGCUCUUUGCACUUCACUUAUAUUCUUUGAGUAUGGCUUUAUAGAAUGCUUCAUGUGCUUCACUUAUAUCAUUUGAAGUUUGGAUUGCAUGUUUCUCUUUACAUAGACAACCGCAAUUUGUAGAAUGCUCUUUUGCUUCACUUAUAUUUGUUAGAGCACGGGCAUAUCUUUUGUAGAAAGAAUUAAACUCUCUUGCUUCACUUAUAUCUAUUUAAAGAGAUGACAGGAACUGGUCAUUCACAUGGUUAGUCAUAAAAUCCUACAUAAACUUGUAGAUCGCUGAAUAUGAUAUGUUUGAUUCCUUGCAAUAGUUUUGCGAUAUAAAAAUGGUGAUACUAGAGUCGUGCGAGUCGAGUAAUUGUGAAAUUGAGAAAUACUUGUGUUGAGGUUUGCAAGUCCCGUAGCAUGCACGUAUGGUGAACCGUCAUGUAACGAAGUCGGAGCAUGAGGUGUUUAUUGAUUGUCUUCCUUAUGAGUGGCGGUCGGGGACGAGCGAUGGUCUUUUCCUACCAAUCUAUCCCCCUAGGAGCAUGCGCGUAGUACUUUUUUUGAUGGCUAAUAGAUUUUUGCAAUAAGUGUGUGAGUUCUUUAUGACUAAUGUUGAGUCCAGGGAUUAUGCGCACUCUCACCCUUCCAUCAUUGCUAGCCUCUCUAGUACCGUGCAACUUUCGCCGGUACGAUAAACCCACCAUAUACCUUCCUCAAAACAGCCACCAUAUCUACCUAUCAUGGAAUUCCAUAGCCAUUCUGAGAUAUAUUGCCAUGCAACUUCCAUCAUCAUCAUAUACAUGACUUGAGCAUUCAUUGUCAUAUUGCUUUGCAUGAUCGUAAGAUAGCUAGCAUGAUGUUUUCAUGGCUUGUCCGUUUUUUGAUGUCAUUGCUAUGCUACAUCAUUGCACAUCCCGGUAAACCGCCAAAGGCACUCAUAUAGAUUCAUAUCUUUGUUAUAGUAUCGAGUUGUAAUAUUGAGUUGUAAGUAAAUAAAAGUGUGAUGAUCUUAUUAGAGCAUUGCCAAAAAAAAGGGGAGAGGCCAAAGAAGCCUAAAUAAAAAAAAGGGGGGCCAAAGAAGCCCACAAAAAAAAGAAAAAAAGGGGGCAAUGUUACUAUCCUUUUACCACACUUGUGCUUCAAAGUAGCACCAUGUUCUUCAUAUAGAGAGUCUCUUGAGCUAACACUUUCAUAUACUAGUGGGAAUUUUCAUUAUAGAACUUGGCUUGUAUAUUCCGAUGAUGGGCUUCCUCAAAUGCCCGAGGUCUUCAUGAGCAAGCAAGUUGGAUGCACACCCACUUAGUUUCAGUUUGAGCUUUCAGUUUGAGCAUCCGUUGCAUGGCAAUCCCUACUCCCUCACAUUGAUAUCUAUUGAUGGGCAUCUCCAUAGCCCGUUGAUACGCCUAGUUGAUGUGAGACUAUCUUCUCCUUUUUGUCUUCUCCACCAUCAUAUUCUAUUCCACCUAUAGUGCCAUGUCCAUGGCUCACGCUCAUGUAUUGCGUGAAAGUUGAAAAGGUUUGAGAACGUCAAAAGUAUGAAACAAUUGCUUGGCUUGUCAUCGGGGUUGUUCAUGAUGUGAAUGCUUUGUGUGGUGAAUAUGGAGCAUAGCCAUGUUAUAUGAUUUUGUAGGGAUGAGCUUUCUUUGGCUAUGUUAUUUCAAUAAGACAUACUUGCUUGGUUGGUAUGCUUGAAGUGUUAUUAUUUUUAUGUCGAAGGAUAGACUAUUGCUUUGAAUCACUUGUGUCUUAAUAUUCAUGCCAUGAUUAGACAUAUGAUCAAGAUUAUGUUAGGUAGCAUUCCACAUCAAAAAUUAUCUUUUUUAUCAUUUACCUACUCGAGGACGAGCAGGAAUUAAGCUUGGGGAUGCUGAUACGUCUUCGUCGUAUCUAUAAUUUUUUAUUGUUCCAUGCCAAUAUUAUUCAACUUUCAUAUACUUUUUGGCAACUUUUUAUAUUAUUUUUCGGACUAACAUAUUGAUCCAGUGCCCAGUGCCAGUUCCUGUCUGUUGCAUAUUUUUGGUUUCGCAGAAUAUCCAUAUCAAACGGAGUCCAAACGGGAUAAAAAUAGACGGAGCUUAUUUUUGUAAAAUAUGGAAAAUUUGGAAGGAAAAUCAACGCGAACCAGUGCCCGAGGUGGUCACGAGGCAGGGGGCGCACCCCCUUAGGGCGCGCCCCCUACCCUCGUGAGCCCGGUUGACGCUCUUCUUUUGCCGCAAGAAAGCUAAUAUUCGGAAAAAAAAUCACGGCGAAGGUUUCAGGCCAAUCGGAGUUACAGAUCUCCAUAUAUAUACGAAAUGGUGAAACAGAGCCAGGAGAGAACGCAGAAACAGAGAGAGACAGAGAGACAGAUCCAAUCUCGGAGGGGCUCUCGCCCCUCCCAUACCAUGGAGGCCAUGGACCAGAGGAGAAACCAUUCUCCCAUCUAGGGAGGAGGUCAAGGAAGAAGAAGAAGGAGGGGGGCUCUCUCCCCCUCACUUUCGGUGGCACCGGAGUGCCACUGGGGGCCAUCAUCAUCACCGCGAUCUACACCAACACCUCCACCAUCUUCACCAACAUCUCCAUCACCUUCCCCCCCUCUAUCUACAGCGGUCCACUCUCCCGCAACCCGAUGUACCCUCUACUUGAACAUGGUGCUUUAUGCUUCAUAUUAUUAUCCAAUGAUGUGUUGCCAUCCUAUGAUGUCUGAGUAGAUUUUCGUUGUCCUAUCGGUGGUUGAUGAAUUGCUAUGAUUGAUUUAAUUUUCUUGUGGUUAUGUUGCUGUCCUUUGGUUCCCAUCAUAUGAUUGCGCGUGUAGAUCACACCCUAGGGUUAGUUGUAUGUUGAUAGGACUAUGUAUUGGAGGGCAAGAGUGGCAGAAGCUUCAACCUAGCAUAGAAAUUGAUGCAUACGGGAUUGAAGGGGGACCAAUAUAUCUUAAUCCUAUGGUUGGGUUUUACCUUAAUGAACAUUAGUAGUUGUGGAUGCUUGCUAAUAGUUCCAAUCAUAAGUGCAUAGAAUUCCAUGUCAGGGAUGACAUGCUAGCAGUGGCCUCUCCCACAUAAUACUUGCUAUCGGUCUAGUAAAGUAGUCAAUUGCUUAGGGGCAAUUUCGCAACUCCUACCACCACUUUUCCACACUCACUAUAUUUACUUUAUUGUUUCUUUAUCUAAACAACCCCUACUUUUUAUUUAUGUAAUCUUUAUUAUCUUGCAAACCUAUCCAACAACACCUACAAAGUACUUCUAGUUUCAUACUUGUUCUAGGUAAAGUGAACGUCAAGCGUGCGUAGAGUUGUAUCGGUGGUCGAUAGAACUUGCGGAAUAUUUGUUCUACCUUUAGCUCCUCGUUGGGUUCGACACUUUUACUUAUCAAAAACUGUUGCGAUCCCCUAUACUUGUGGGUUAUCAAGGAGCACUUGACCUUGGAGUAUGAGACUGAGCUUUGUUCUAAUAGAUUGGGUUGGGUGGGUGGGAAGAUCCAUUGCCACCUUUGCUCUUCUGUUGGUAGGGCUGACGAAACGGAGAAGGAGGAGGCAACCAGAACUUCUGUUGCUGAGCUGCCACUUGUGAGGAAGAAGGUUGAACUGCGUCCCUGAUUCUCUUCUUAGAUGUGUCACACUUGAGGUGAGCAGCUUCUUGCUUUAGUGCCAUGUUGUAGAAUUGAUCAAACUUGGUCGGCUCGAGAAGCACGAGAGCUAACUGCAGAUCCUCUCUGAGGCCACCUCUGAAUUGAUAUAUCAUACUCUUUUCAUCAGGAACUCUUGUUUAGCAAAGUGAGCAAGUUUCUGAAACUGGAUAUUGUAUUGAUACAUAGACAUGCUGCCUUGCUUGAGAUUGCGGAACUCCUCAUGCUUGCUCUCAGCAAUGCUUGGUGGAAUGUGAUGAGCUUUGAUGUCUCGGCGGAAAUCAUCCCAGGUAAUCACACAACCUCCUAUGGAAUCUCUGUAUUGUUGAUACCACUCAGCAGCUUGAUCCUUGAGUUGAAACAAAGCAAACUUGACAAAGUCCUUAGGUAUGACAUUGCUACAUUCAAAAUGUUUGCAAAUGUCCACGAGCCAAUCGUCGACGUCUGUGGCCUCGACACAGUUGCUGAAGGAUUUCGGCUGGUUUGCGAGGAACUGGUUGAGGGUAGCAAACUGAGGCUAAUUGUUGCCUUGACCUUGAUUUCCUUGGUUGCCUUGACCUUGGUUGCACUCUUGCAAGAGUUGCAAUAGCAUCUGAGUAUUGGCGUUGGUGCCUGCCAUGAUAGCUUGCCAUGCCUCCGAAGGUGGAGGUGGUGGCCGAGGGUUCGACUGAUCCCCAUCACCGCGGUCCGGAUUCUGGCGCGUUGGGGGAGCCAUCCUGAAGAGGUUGACAUCCGUUAGAAUUUUGAAAGACAUAUAUUCAAGCUGAAUCAAUGGAUCGAAAUUGCAACAUAUAGUCUUAACAUUCGAACAAGGAUGAACGAAUGAAUUCCAAAGUAAAUCAUCACACGUCCAUUAAGUUGAGAAACCACUUAGAUAAAGGUAGAUGAAUAAAGCAACAAGGUACGGAUAUGAACAAAUAAGUGGUAAGGAUUACCCAAUCACAAACCAAAUAUCUGCGGGAAGAAAUACUAGAGCUACUUGAAUUCCCACCAAUGAAACUCCUGAAACUUUCUGGUUAUGCAAUCAGGUGUUGGGGAUACAGGGGAAGCAUAAUAUCUCACCCAAAACUAACAAAUUCUACAUCCAGCUGUAUCCAUCCUUCAACACAUAACCAAGAAACCUUCGGAAAUCAUUUACCUCAACCUCCGAAAGCAUCCGUUAUACGAGUUAUGGCAAUACUCCCGAAUUCCCGCCCCAGUACUGGGUGGCGUCGUGGUUAUCUCACCAACAACUGCAUAAAAGAGAUUUUCGAUGUAUGCAAACUCAGGUAUUCCAGAACUGCAACGAUAAAAUUGUGACGACAACACCUUGGAGCUCAACUCCCCGGGACACUUCCACAACCCCUAAAUGUCAGGAGGCACCAAGAACAAUGUUCUCGUCACAAAACCAUCAGAACGAUUCCAAGAUACCCGCGUGAUCCUAAUUUUUUUUCAUGAAAUUUGAGGAGAGAAGAGUCAAAACUUCUAUGUCAGGAGGCCUCACCAGAGCGACGAAGGGACUGAGAAGUAAAAAGAAUCCUACUCUCCGAUAUAUAUAAUCCUAAGACUCAAAACAUUUUGUUCUAGACUCAACAACAUCAGUGAUUCGAUCAACACUACAAAAAAAUACACUUCCGUGAUGAUGCGUGUUUGUCACAGUAGGUCGCUUUUUUUGUCAUGCAUGUACAUGCAUGACAAAUUUAUGACAGAAUCAAGAUAGUCAUACCUGUGCUGUCGUAGAAGUGUUCCAUGACAUUACCAAAAUUAUCAUCACGGAAGUGUCCACUUCCAUGACGAUAAAUCGCGCGUCACAGAAGUGCUUUCGUCAAGGGUGACAGACACGUGGCAUCCACCGUAACGGAACGCCGUUAAGCUAUCGGGUCGGGUUUUGGAUCCGAUAACCCAUUAAUAGCCCCGACCAAUGGAGAUUUUCCAAGUGUAAAAUCAUCAUUGGCUAGAGGAAACACGUGUCGGCUCAUCGUCGGGACAGAUGUCAUCCACUCACUGGACAGAAGGCGCCUAUGAUACGUCGACACGUGGCACGACCCAACAAGUUUAAAUGGGCUGGCCCAACUAAAGGCCCACAAGAUUUUGCGGACCAUAAUGGGUCGGCCCAACUAAAGGCCCACGAGAUUUUGCGGACCAUAAUGGGCUGGCCCAGCUAAAGACCCACAAGAUUUUGCGGGCCAUAAUGGGCCGGCCCAGGUAAAGGCCCACAAGAUUUUUGUGUGCCAUAAUGGGCCGGCCCAGGUAAAGGCCCACAAGAUUCUUGCGGGUCAUAAUGGGCCGGCCCAGCUAAAAGCCCACGAGAUUUCGCCAACAUUAAUGGGCCGGCCCAGCUGUAGGCCCACAAGAUUUUGAGGACCCUAGUUAGCCGGCCCAUUAACUGGCUGCCAUGUUUUGGGCCAAAUGCCGACCCAUAUUUGAUCCGGUCCAUUAAUGGCCUGCCAUGCUCCGGGCCUAAUAGUGGCCCAUAUGAGAUCCAGCCUGUUAAAAGCCUACCGCAUUCUCGGCCCUUUAAGAGGCUUUGGGCUCAAUUAUGGCCCAUAUCAGAUUCGGCCCGUCAACUGGACACUAUGCUUUUGGGCCCACUUGCUAAAGGCCCACUUAGUAAUUCGGCCUGAUAUUAGUUUGGCCUGUUAACGGCCCGUUUAACAUUUCGGCCCUAUAUUAAUUUCAGCCUGUUAAAAGCCCGUCAUAUAGUUGGGCCUAACUAUGACCCGGUUUGCAUCCGGCCUGCUCGCAGUCGAUAUCUGAUUGGGCCAAACAAGGACCCAGACAAUUUUGGCCUGUUAAAAACCUAUGAUUUGAUUCGCACAAUCAUGGGCCGGGGUUCAUUUCGGGCUGCUGCAUAACUAGUAGGAAUUAAGAACAAACCUACUCUAUACAAUAAAGAAAUUACGGCAUAGUAACUAAGAAUAAACCAACACUACACAUUAAAGGAUUUAAGGUAUAUUACAUCCACUGGGCAUCAAAGUUUGCCACCAGUGAUCAUAAAGCGCAAUGAAGAAGCAUAUUACAAAAACUGGGCACCAUUGCAGCGUAACAAAAUAAUACUGAACCGAGACCACUUCCAAGACAGUUCAAGAAAGGUUAGCCUUGUGGGGGAACUGCUGCGCAAGCUGCUGAGCAAGGCUGUGAGACCGGCCUAGCAUGUCGGUCAUAGCUUCCAGGUGUAGCUGUUUAGCGAUGAGGUUCUCAUUGGUGUUCUCCGCAAUCUUUCUUAGAGAUAGGACUUCAAGUCGAAGUUGAGUUGCAGAAUGCCUUUCUGCUAGAACUUGGGACUGAAGAAGUCGAACUGAUUCAGACAACGAAUUCUGCGAGCUUGUUUGACUGUUAGUCUCAAGUAACUUGAACACUACAUGAAGACAAGACUUUGGGGUUGUCUCGCUAUCUUCAAGAUGUUUUGCCUUCUUUGCUGCAAUAUAUGUUGGGUUUGUCUCACAGCCUUCAGCAGACUUGUGCAUGCCAUCAGGCAUAUCACCCUGAAACAAAGUAGAGACAUGACAGGUUUUGCACGUGUAUAAACAAAGAUGAUAACUGUUCUGUCAAUUCUAUCCAAUUUCAAAUUGGAAAAUAAAGAGUAUGUUCAAAAUAUCAAUAGCAUAAUUUGGCAUUGUUCAUAAUGCGGGGAGCUUCACCACACUACUGGAUUACCAUGUCAACAUAACAAGCAUAUAUGAAGGGCAAAGAAAAUCAUUGUAUCUAUCUUGGAUAAUGUGCAUGGCAUGUUGUUCAUAUCAUCAGCCACAUCAGUAAGAUAAAACAGGAGAUGACAAGCUGCAAACAUGGGCUGCUUCACCACACACUGGAUUAUAGAUCCACAAAAACAAGCAUACAUAUAGGGAGUAUUAACUAAUGUGCAUGGUAUGAAUAAGGAAUUUGGUUUUACAAGUAAAACUUAGAACUUACGGUUCUUACGAACAUGCAUUUUGGUAGAAACAGCAAACUAAACAGCAGUAAAUGAUAGGGAGUAUGAGCAAAUUAAACAACAGUUGAGGAUAAAGGCUUUAGAAGGACUGACUUACAUUAACAGUUAAUACCAGUUUUAUAAUGCCCUUCUCCAUGGCAAGGGAAGGAUAACUCAAGAAUUUCAGUACAGAAUCUUCUUCAUAAGCAUUGCAUGUACUCUACAUUUUGUAGAGAGUAAUUAUAGAUAUGAUAAUACUGGAAGGGAUAGAGGAUAAUGAAGAUAAGAUGCAGAUUGAUGCUACAUAAUCAACUACCAAUCCCUGGAAGUACAAGCGUUACAGGACAAAAUGUACUGACAAGAGCAAUGGGCUACACUUCUGCACUGGCAUUGUCUGUGUAUUCUACUUGUUGGUAAGAUUAAAUAUAGAUCUGAUCUUUUUUAGUAAAUGGUGGGCGAGGGAGAUAAGAUGCAUAAUGCUACAAAAUGAACCAAUCCCUCUUCCCAUAAUACAAGAGUGUUUUGAACACUGGUGUACUGUACAAAACAUUCUUAUAUUAUGGGACGGAGGGAGUAGCUGUUAAUGUAAGUACAGUGAUAGACCACGUUCAGUCCUUACAAGAGGACUGCAGAGCUAAACCUCUUCAAAA